RNAcentral lists this long non-coding RNA (76703 nucleotides) under Solanum tuberosum (potato). RNAcentral describes it as "long non-coding RNA (STUB_LNC008421)". Lineage: Eukaryota; Viridiplantae; Streptophyta; Magnoliopsida; Solanales; Solanaceae. The record is from RNAcentral.
UAGCAAAAGAAAGGGACGUAGAUAUUUUGCAAUAAUAAAUCGUUUCAUUAAGAAUAAAAAGAUUACACAUAAAUUAGAAUAGAGGGAGUAUGUGAGAUAUUCUAACAAACAUUAAUGAUUUAAUUUAACCAUCGAGCAAUUCAAUAGCCACACUUUGGAUGGAGAUCACAUCUCCACCCGUUUUAGGAACCACAGUUACCGUAAUGGUAUCGUCAUCUUCCAGUUCAAUGUCCUCUAACAGUUCAGUAAUGCCUAGCUGAAACAUCUCAUCAGAAUCCAUUUUCUGAUUAUGUGCAUGAACAUGAGGCAAGUUGACAUAGCUCCCCGCGAACUCCACCUUAUCAAGCUCAUCUGUAUUCAUAUCCUCAUCCUCGUUCAGGAACACAUCAAAUCUUAUAUAUUUGUUAGUAUCAUACUUUAAACCCUUGAAUAUUAGCACCUCUUCUUUUUCGUCUUUAUCCUUUUGACUCCUUGACGUAGUUGGCCUAUUGAUGGAAAACGAAAUGGGUUUGUUGAGGUUAGCAAUUGGGAAUACUUUGUUUGCUGGCUUGAUGUUUGUUACAACCACUUUUCCUUCUCUGCCCUUUCUUGUUGGCCUACAGUUGAUCCAUGGGAUGGCUGCUGGCGCGUAAUCAUAACCCAUCUUCUUCGUAUCCAAACAGUCUCCUACCCUCACACGGUAAGGGUUUUUGUUUUCAUCAUAGAAAAAGAAUUCGGAGUUCAACCAAUCUGGAUCUAUGAUAUCCCUUCUUUUCCCGCAUAGUCCUUUCCAUACUUUCCACAUUCGGUCCACAUUGGCGUGGUGGCAAUAGAAAACCGGGUCUAAAGCGGCUGAGUAGAAAUUACCCAUAUCUUCACCUAAUGACAGUUUACCACCACCCAAAUACGGACGUGUGGAUUACGUCUUGCAUCAUAAAGGGGAGUAUUUGCACGAUCGAACAUGGGAGGUAAACGCAUACCUUUUGGAUGGUCCCAAUUCCAAUAAGGUAAAGCGAAAGUUGGAUCAUCAAUGAGUUUUCCCAAUAUUCUGUCGUAGAAAAAUAAGUACCAUCUAUGGAACGGGAAGAAAAGCCAUGAUUGAUGAACUUGUAAAAUUUCAUCACCGAAUUUGUAAGCACCAUUGCAAUAAGCACAAUGGAUGUUGGCUUGUUGCAUGAAUGAACGAGGAUCGUCUUUGUCUAGUUCCUUCAUUCUUUUAGUUUCCAAUUGGUACUUUGCUAUAUAUUCCUUAGUCACGUCUUGAGCAACAGGACGUUUACGGAGCUUAGACAUGGGAGGAAGAUUGUAAUAUGGAAUGUUGUUCAAGUCCUUUGGUGUAGGAGGGCAACAACUAUAUUCUACUAGAUCUUUACUCCCCGUUUUCGUGGCUUUACUACAUGAUUUCAGAUUAGGCGGCGGUAUAGGAGAAGAAAAGGCUAAUGGUGCAAGAUUGGAAGCACUGUAGAGCCCUCCUAAACCAAGAAGCACAUUUCUCCUAUCGAUAUUUGCUUUAAUAUUUUGGUCGUGCUCAUUAGCAUUGCAUGAGACGUGGAAACUUUGACUACGCCUUCUCUUCAACAAAUGCGGAGAAUAAGGUUUUGCAAAGAAUGAUGAGAGUGUUGUAUGUUGAGCAUAGUGAGACUGAUGAGCUGUUAUAUGAGUUAGUCAGAUUAAACAGUAAAUGUCAUGAAGUUAGUUAGCUGUUAGUUACUAGUUAAACUGUGGUUAGUUUAUAAUUAACAAGAUUAGAUGGUUAAAGUAGAUCCAAUUAUACACACUAUAUAUAGUGGUGUAGAUAUUUUGUUAAAAGAUAAUUCUGUACAGAAUAUUCAAUACAUUUUCUGUUUCUCUUCUUCUUAAUCACUGUUCUUCACAUUCUUAUCAUGGUAUCAGAGCUUCAGAUCCAUUGACGAUCUCCGUUUUUCAGUACAGUAGAUAGCUUGUUGCAUUGUAAAAAAGGCAGAUCGUGGAAAAUCUUGAAAUUUUAGUUUUACAACAAUGGCAUCUAAUCCCAAUCCAGAAAUCACUUCCAGUUCUAUGCAAGGAGGACAAAUUGUAUUCGAUGCACAUCAUCCCUUACAUCUUCAAGCUUGCGACACUCUAGGUAGUUCUUUGGUUUCUAUUCAGUUGACUGUAUCUGAAAAUUACGCUUUGUGGAGUAGAUCAAUGAAAAUAGGUCUACUAGGUAAAGGUAAAUUGGGAUUUGUUAAUAGCAAAUGCUCUAAGAGUUCAUUUCCUGCUUCACUUCAUGAUCUAUGGGAUAAAUGUAAUGCCAUAGUACUCUAUUGGAUCAUGAUAUCUAUUAUAAGUAGGGAGUUACUUAGUGGUAUAGUGUAUGCUAGCAAUGUUCAGCAGGUGUGGAAUGAUCUAAAGGAAAGGUUCGACAAAGUAGAUGGUUCUAGAAUUUUUUUUCUUCACAAAGAGAUUGCUACUAUGACUCAAGGAGUAUUAUCAGUUUCUAGCUAUUACUCUAAGCUGAAGGAGCUUUGGAUGGAGUUUGAUUCCCUUAUGCCUUGUCCUAGUUGUGCAUGUGAAGUGUCUAAGACCUAUGUUGUUCAUUUCGAAUAUCAGAGGUUAAUGCAAUUUCUUCUAGGGUUGAAUGAAUCAUAUAAUCAGUGUAGAAGUCAAAUCAUGAUGAUUGAUCCUACACCAGGUGUGAACAAGGCUUACUCAUUAGUAAUGGCUGAAGAGUGUCAGAGAGUACUUGGUAAAUCGAAUAUAGUAGGGACUGAAGGCACUAACUCUAUUAAUUCUAGGCAAUUGACUGAAGCAAUGGCAUUUUUCAGUAAUGGAAAGGGGUUUACUAGAUCAUGAGGACCUACAAAUCAGUCUGGAGGGUCUACUCAGUCUGGAGGAUCCACUCAGUAUGGAUCAAGUUUUAGACCUCAGAAAUCUCUUAACAACAAUUUGUAUUGUGAUUAUUGCAACUGGAAGGGCCACACUAGAGCUGUGUGUUUUAGAUUGCAUGGGUACCUUGCUAACUGGAAAGGUAAGAAGAGGACUAACCCUGGUCCUAUCACUGCUGCCAACCUUGUAAGAGCAAAUUCUCCUAGCAAUGGUAAUGCUAGUUUCAUGGAUUUUCAGUCUAGUUCAGGGUUUCCUGGUCAAGUUUUUACUACUGGGAACAGUUCAGGCAACUAUCAGAUUCAUCAACCUCCUUCGUUAUUAGGAAGUACUUCCUACUCAAAUUCUUCCCCUGCUCUUAUGACUAACAUACAGCCCUACCAGUAUCAGACUACACAGUGGCCAUAUCUAGUGCAGCAGCCAUCUCCUCAUCAAUACUUGCAAAUGCCACUGGAACUUAAAAAAACUACCAGUAAUGCUGCUGGAAGAGCAUCAGGUAUGUUAAACUGUUCUAUUUAUCCAAAUGUUGUUGACAAAUGGAUAGUAGAUUCAGGAGCCUCCAAGCAUAUGGUCAAUGCUCUUCACUUGUUAACUUACUCUAUUACUCUUCAUGAUUCCCUUGAGGGUAAAGUACACUUACCUACUGGUAGUUUAGCUAAGGUCAGUCAUAUUGGUUGUUCUCAGAUACUUGGAGGGAUUGAGAUCACCAAUGUACUGUAUGUUCCUGAGUUCAAGUAUAACUUGCUCUUUGUGCCAAAGUUAACUAAGGAGUUGAAUUGCUGUGUUCUUUUCUAUCCUGAUCACUGUGUAUUUCAGGAUCUCUCCAGUGGAAAGGUGAGGGGGAUUGGCAAGUUGGAGAAUGAUUUGUAUGUUCUUCAGGCUGAUUGUCAAUUGAAGUCACCAGCAACAGUUUCUUUGUCAUCAGCUUAUGCAGUUUCCACUCCUACAUCAUGUGUCUCAUCACCUCCUAUAGCUCUUGUUAACAAGAAUGUCUCUCUAUGGCAUAAAAGGCUGGGCCAUGUUCCAUUUACUACUCUUAAAAUGCUUGGAUGUUUCAAAUCAUUGUCGUCCAAGUCUGAUACACUUUGUACUGUAUGUCCUUUAGCUAAACAAUCAAGACUUUCUUUUCCAUUGAGCAGUAUCACAACUACUACUUGUUUUCAUACUUUACAUGCUAUGGGGUCCUUAUAGAGUGCCUACUCAUGAUCAUAAAAGUUAUUUUCUCACGAUUGUGGAUGAUUGUUCCCGAUAUAAUUGGUUAUUUUUGUUAAAUUCCAAGUCUGAAGUAAUUGUAGAGCUUAGAAAUUUUCUUGCAAUGAUCAGGAAUGUAUUUUCUGCCAGUAUAAAGAUUUUAAGGACUAAUAAUGGGUGUGAGUUUUUUAACUCGCAAGUGGCUUCUUUACUCCAGUCACUAGGUAUUCUUCACCAAAGUUCUUGUAUCUACACUCCACAACAAAAUGGAGUCGUCGAACGAAAGCAUAGACAUAUUUUAGACACAGCCAGAGCACUGAGAUUUCAGGCUAGUUUGCCACUCAGAUUCUGGGGAGAAUGUGUUCUUACCAGUGUAUAUCUCAUCAACAGAAUUCCCUCUCAAGUUCUUAAAGGGAAGACUCCGUAUGAUGUUUUAUUUCAAUCAUCACCACCCCUUGAUAACUUAAGGGUGUUUGGAUGCCUUGCUUUUGCUAUAGAAGUCAGAAAAGUGAAUAAAUUUGCCUCCAGAGCAGCUCCUGCUGUUUUUCUUGGUUAUUCAGCAUUGCAAAAGGGAUACAUAUUAUAUGCCCUGCACACUAAGGAGUUUUUCGUGAGUAGAGAUGUGGUGUUUAAGGAGGAUAUCUUCCCAUUUCAGUCUAUGCAUUUAGAUAUAUCUCCCCUAUUUCCUGUUUUGCAGUCUAUUGAGUUGUGUGACUCAACUCCUUUAUGCUUUCAUGUUGCUCCUACUGUAACUGAUAGAAGUUCCUCUGGUAUUACUCUUGCAUCUGAGCAUGCUGAACAUGCUCCUGUAGCUCUUACUGAUGAGCCAGCUCAAGUUCUAGUUCCUUCUAUUGCUGAUCCUUCUAUUUCCCCUACUGCAUCUCUUCCUAGUAGGAGAUCUUCUAGAAACAUCAAACCACCUUUUUGGAUGCAUGACUUUAUUACUACUCAGCCUAAGUCUAAAUGCUUGUAUCCAAUGUCAAAUCAUGUUAGUUAUGCCCAUCUUUCUGGUGUCUAUGGAGAAGCUUUAGCUGCUUAUUCUAGUAUUAUUGAACCUACUUCCUUUGCUGAGGCUGCUGGUCAUCCUAAAUGGGUAGAGGCUAUGAGAUCAGAAAUUGCAGCAUUAGAAGAUAACCACACUUGGAGUCUUACUGAGUUACCUCCAGGGAACCAACCUAUUGGAUGCAAGUGGGUCUUUAAAGUUAAAUAUCUCACCUCAGGUGCUGUUGAAAGGUAUAAGGCCCGACUGGUUGCAAAGGGUUUUAGUCAAAAAGAGGGCUUAGAUUACUCAGAGACUUUUUCUCCUGUUGCCAAAAUGGUUACCGUAAGAUCAGUCUUGGCUGUGGCUGCUGCCAGACAUUGGUCUGUGUUUCAAAUGGAUGUGCACAAUGCAUUUUUGCAGGGUGAUCUUCCUGAGGAUGUCUAUAUGGUUAUACCACCUGGUUUUUGCAGACAGAGGGCGACUGGCAAAGUCUGCAAACUUCACAAAUCCUUAUAUGGUCUAAAACAGGCACCAAGACAAUGGAAUCUUAAACUAACUGAAGCUUUAGUUCAGUUGGGAUUUGUUCAAAGCCAUUAUGAUUAUUCCCUUUUUACCAAGAAAGUAAAUAAGGAGUUGAUAGUGGUGCUUGUGUAUGUAGAUGAUCUACUUGUGACUGGCAGCUGUAGUAACUUGAUUGUGCAGACUAGAAAUGAUCUUAAACUCAAGUUCAAAAUGAAGGAUCUGGGAGAACUAAAAUUCUUCCUUGGUAUUGAAUUUGCUAGGUCUAAGGAGGGGUAUGUAAUGAGCCAGCGCAAGUAUGCCUUGGAGUUGAUAUCUGAGAUGGGUUUAAGUGGAGCCAAACCAGUGUCUACACCUCUGGAUCCUAAUCUUAAGCUAACAUCCAUUGAGUAUGAUUUACACGUGCAAGGAUCAGGAACUACUAUAUCAGACAGGCCCUUAAAGGAUGUUGGCAGAUACCAAAGAUUAGUGGGAAGGUUGUUGUACUUAACUAUGACCAGAGUUGAUAUCUCAUUUGCAGUACAGACAUUAAGUAAAUUUAUGCAUGCUCCUAAAGAAUCCCAUAUGGAAGCUGCUCUAAGGGUGGUCAAAUAUAUCAAGACAGCUCCUGGACUUGGUUUGUUUAUGCCUGCUCAAAGUUCAGAACUUCUGACUGUAUAUUGUGAUUCAGACUGGGGUACUUGUGUAUAAACAAGAAAGUCUGUAACUGGAUAUUUAGUAAAAUUUGGAGAUGCACUUAUCACCUGGAAAUCAAAAAAGCAAGAGACUGUUGCCAGAAGCUCUGUUGAAGCUGAGUUCAGGAGUAUGGCUUCAGCAGUUGCAGAAAUAACUUGGCUAAUUGGAGUGUACAAGGAACUAGGGGUGACUAUCAAACAACCAGUGGAUCUAUUCUGUGACAGCAAGGCUGCAAUACAAAUUGCAGCCAAUCCCAUUUUUCAUGAAAGAACUAAACACUUUGACAUUGAUUGUUACUUUGUCAGAGAAAAACUAACUCAGGGUAUGAUUAAGACUCAUCAUGUAUCCACCAGAGAUCAGUUAGCAGAUCUUCUUACAAAAGGGUUAUGGAAGGCUCCUCAUCUGCACUUAAUGGCCAAGCUGAGUUUAAAAGACAUCUUUCAGCCAUCAGCUUGAGGAGGGGUGUUGAGCAUAGUGAGACUGAGGAACUGUUAUAUGAGUUAGUUAGGAUGAACAGUAAAUGUCAUGAAGUUAGUUAGCUGUUAGUUACUAGUUAAACUGUGGUUAGUUUAUAAUUAACUAGACUAGAUGGUUAAAGUAGAUCCAAUUAUACACACUAUAUAUAGUGGUGUAGAUAUUUUGUAAAAGAUAAUUCUGUACAGAAUAUUCAAUACAUUUUCUGUUUCUCUUCUUCUUAAUCACUGCUCUUCACAUUCUUAUCAUUGUAGUAGUGAGAGUUUUGCUACUCUGGUCAUCAAGACUUAAACAGAUAGAAUUAAUGGAAGAUGAAGAAGCCAUUGAGUGAUUGUUGUGAUUCGUAUCAUCUAUUAAAUAAAAGUGAAUAAAAUAAUCAUAAAGUUACAUAAAAACAAAAAAACAAAAGCUAUUGCAUUUCUGACCUUACGUGUCCACAUAAGACAUGACAGUAUGCUAAAAUAUAAUGUCACCAACAAAAAAGAUAAACAAGAAAGAUAAUGAAAACCCAUAAAAUAAGUACUACUAAUAAGAGAUAAUAAAAAUGAACAAGGAUUAUGUGGAUUUUAUUUUUACUGAAUGGUUAUGAAUUAUAAUUCUGUAAAGACUUAAUUGUAUCCUCAAAGAAAUUGUAAGUGUUAUAAAUUGUAAUAUUGUAAAUAUCUAUCUUGUAUGUUGCUUUGAGAAAAGUUUGAGACUAAAUGAAGGAACAUUUUAGAAAUAUAUUAUUAUCUAACUUCUUUUGCAAAUGUAUAGCUCAAAACUUACAUUAUAAAUAUUUAGCCCAAAACACAAUUCGGUAUAUAAUAUUAUAUAUUUAGUAUACUUUAAUAUACAAAUUUAUAUUUUAUUUUUUACAAAACUAUUUAAAAACUUGAUUUACACUAUUAUACACUCAAUAUAUAAUAUUAUACAAAAUCAUAAGAGAUAUUUGUACAUCCAUAUACAAUAAUAUAUCACAAAAUAUAAAAUUAUAAGAGAUAUUUAUACACUCAUAUAAAAUAAUAUAUGUUAUCAUGUAAAAUACGAAUUUCGUCUUUUUUCUUGAAUCCAAGCAUUUGAUUCAUCCAAAAGCACCUCUAAACUACAUCAAAUCAUCCAAAAUUUCAUUUUAGGCUCCUCAAUACACAUUCAAUCUUUUGCAACAAUAUCCACUCGAAUUGGAGCUUAUUUGCGAAAAUUCAAUUUUCAAAUUUUGAAGCUUCGAUUUUCAACAUUAGAUGUCUGUGCCUCCAACGAAAUGUCAAUUCUCCUUAAUAGUAACUCCCAUAACGGAGAUAAAAUAAAGAUUUAAUUUAAAAUUUCUCUAAGACUAGGUACCAUUAUCAAUCACUCAGUUAUACACAUAUAUGAGACAUUCAUUUCACUCCAAAAAAAGCAAAACAAACAAAUCUGUUAUUUACUGUCACCAUAGUUGAGAGAGAGAGAGAGAGAGUGUUUUGGGUGUGCAGGGAAGAGAGAUAUUGUUAGGUUAGUGGCUAAAUUUGGGUAAGUUUAAAUAGCUUGUCUAUUUUGACAAUGUAUUUGGAAUUUGGAUCAAUGGUACUUUGAAGUAAUUCUCUCUAUAAAUAAAGAAAUUUUCUUUUAUUAUAAUCAAUCUUCAAGAAAAAAUAAGAAGUGUUGUUUCUUCUCGCUACUAUAUUCUUUUUCUUCUUUUUAUUUUAUAGUUUUAUAACAUAUUGUCAAUAUAAAUCUCAUAAACUAAAGUUGAUUUUAAUUUUAUAAAGGGAAAAGGGUCUGAUAUAUCCCUCGUUAUAAAAGUGGCUUAUAUAUAUCCUUAUCAUUAUACAAAUGACUCACAUAUAUCCCUACCGUUACAAAAGGAGUUCACAUAUACCCUUUAUCUAACAGAAGUGAAAAAAUUAGUUUUAAAUUUAUAUUUUUACUCUUACUUUUAAAAAAAUCAUGUAGGGUGUUCAAGGUAUAUUUUCAUCCUUUUCAUACAUAAAUUAUUUUUUGACUUCUUCGAUUAUCAUUAUUUGAGUUUCUUGUUCUUAUUUUAUUUUUUUCUUUCAUUUUUGGCUAUAUUAUAAUUUUAAACUAUUUUUUUCCGGUUAUAUUGUAAUUUAGUUUUUGUAUUUAUAUAUAAAAAAAAGAGGCAUCUACGAUAGAUUUUUACAAGAAAAUUAGUGAAACAUAAAUAAAUAUAACCACCAAAAUAAUAAAUUUAAAUUAGUCGUUAAAACAAAAAAAAAGUCAAAAAAAUAAGGUGCGAGGAUGAUUAAAUAUGCCCCAUAUGGAUUACAUAUAUAUUUUUUAAAAAUAAUUAAAAAAUUAAAUUAAAAUUAUCUUUUUCACUUCCGUUAGAGGAAAAAGAUAUAUGUGAGUCAUUUGUAUAACAGUAGAAGUAUAUAUGAGCCACUUUCAUAACACAAGAUAUAUCAGCGCUCUAAAUAACAAAAUUGAAAGAUAUAUCAGACUUUUUUUUCCUUUUAUCAAUCAUCAAAACACAAAUCACAUGUGAUACAAACAUGACUGGGAUAAAUAAUUAUCUUCCGUGCAAUAAAACAGAUGCUUUGAAUUAUUAUUUUUUACUCCAAUAAAUAGUACUACUAUAUUUUAUCUAGUUUUUAAAUACAUUUUCGAUUCAAUUUAUUUAUCUUAGUCAUUGUGUAUAUAUAUUUAGAAAUUGCAAGCAUAUUUUCAAUGUUAUAACAUUUUUAAAUACUUUCUAAAUAUUUUAGAUUGUUAAUCAUGGUAAGUUGUAACAUAUAAUAAUUUUAUCUAAUUUUAAAGUAUACAAAAAAUAGAAAAUUAUAUACCAAUUUUAUACCAAACAUUAGUUAAUGUGACCGUUGUCUCUCUCAAAAUAUCUCUACGGGCCUCGCCCACCUACCACCACACAUCUUAAUUUUUGAGUUUGGACCUUUUUGGCAGAUAAAAAUCAUAUUCAUUUUCCACUUUAAAACACACACAGACACAAAUAAUAAAUAAAGAAAACCUAUUGAAUUUUAUUUUUUUGUAGGAUUUAGGUUUACUGGUGAGAUCGAUUGAUUUGGUUCGCUUUUAUGUAGAAUUGGUUAAGUUUAUUAAUUUUAAAUUUAUAAAUAUGUUAAAUUGAUAAUCAUAUUAAUUAUCAAUUUUCAGUCAAUCCAUUUCGAAUCUAAAUAUACAAAUUAAUGUUCUAUUUAACUCACCCUCCUCUAAUUUGUUUUACAUUUUUAUUUUUAUGAAAUAAAUGUCAAAAACACACCUACACUAUCCCCUUUUUUUUAUUUUCAUACCCAAACUAUUGGAAGUGUGAGUUUCAUACUUAAACUAUCACUUAUUAGUUCGAGAAACACAUCUCAAUGGUGUGUGUAAUACACUCUCUUUUAUUUGAAAAAACCUUAACACAUGACAUGCCACAUGGAUAAAAUAUUUCACAUUGACUAAAAUUAAAUAAUAAACUAUUAAUAUUAAUUAAAAAUUAAAGAUUAAAGUACUACUAUCCCAAAAAAUAUAAUUUUUUUAAAAAUAAAAUUUAAAUUAUUUUUCUUAUCCCACUCCACUACCUCCUCCCCGUACCCCAAUAAUCCCCCAUCCANNNNNNNNNNNNNNNNNNNNNNNNNNNNNNNNNNNNNAGUUUAUACCCAAACUAUUGGAAGUGUGAGUUUCAUACUUAAACUAUCACUUAUUAGUUCGAGAAACACAUCUCAAUGGUGUGUGUAAUACACUCUCUUUUAUUUGAAAAAACCUUAACACAUGACAUGCCACAUGGAUAAAAUAUUUCACAUUGACUAAAAUUAAAUAAUAAACUAUUAAUAUUAAUUAAAAAUUAAAGAUUAAAGUACUACUAUCCCAAAAAAUAUAAUUUUUUUAAAAAUAAAAUUUAAAUUAUAAAAUUGGUAUUAUUUUAUUUUUAAAAAAAAAAAAUUCUACCUCAUCAUAUUAACCCUCUGUUCUUACUUUAUUUAUUUAUCUUAAAUUUUUCUCGUUUUGUGUUACAUAUGUAUAUAUAUAUUUUUAGGAUUUUUUUCUACUUGUGUACCGAAUAUAACAUAAAUAAAAAUUUUAUUUUAAAAAAAGUCUUGUGACGGCAAAUAAAAAAUAUUUUUGAUAUGUAUAUCUAACACAAAACGAGAAAAUUUUUUGGAAGCGGAGGGUUAUGUGGAGUGGGUAGAGUUAUUAUUAUUAUUUUUUAAAAUAAUAUCUAAAUUAGUAUUUGUGGGGGGGGAGGGGGGGGUCGGACGGUUAGAGGAAGUGAUGGAGUGGAUAAGAAAAAUAUUUUACAUUUUAUUUUAUAAAUUUUUUUUUUUUUUGGAUAAUAAUUUUUUAAUCUUUCAUUUUAACUAAUAUCAUUAAUUUAUUUAUUUUUUGUCAAGGCGAAAUGUUUUGUCAUCUGGAGUGUGAUGUGACAAUUUUUUUUAAAUAAAAGAGAGUGUAUUACAUACACCAUGAUGAGAGUGGUAUAAAAGAGAGAGAUGUGUUUCUCAAACUAAUAGGUAAUAGUUUAGGUAUGAAAUUCACACUCUCAAAAAUUUAGGUAUGAAACUAAAAAAAAGGAGAUAGUUUAGGUGUGUUUUUGACGCUUAUCUUUAUUUUUAUUCAUAUAUACACUACCUUCAUGCGUAAAGCUGUCAAAAAGGGCCGGCCCAGCCCAGCACCCAGUCCAAGCCUCGCGAGCCAGGGAAUUUGUAGGGGUAAUGAGGGCCGGUCCAGCCCAAGCCUCGCGGGCCAAGGAAAUUGAAGGGCUAGUGCGGGCCGAGGGCAAUGGCAGGCUAGCCAUUCUUUUUUUUCACUUUUUUCUUUUCAAACUUAUGUUCUAUAACAUCAAAAAAAUGAGAAGAUUUUCAAAUCAAAUAUGGCAAACUAUGGUGUUGUCUCAAUAACACUAACGAAAAAUCUAGUGUAAUUAGCAUAUAUCUCUCAUACCAAAUACUCGAGCGAGAUAAGAAAGUGACAAGCAAGAUGGGAGGGAGGCAAGGGCACGAGAUUUGUCUAUGUAUCCUAGAUACAUGCGAAUCUACUUGGAUAGAGUAUAUCUAGAACAAAUUAACCUAGUUUUGAGUCUAUAUAUUCCGAGAUACAUGUAUUUGGACGUACCAAUCUAGUAAGAUUUAUAAUAUUACAACAUAAGUAUAUUUAAGUAAUUAGAUUAUAUAUUAGUGAGAUUAUUGUAAAUUACCUUUAAAUAAAAAGUUUUGGCCCAUGGACCGACUCCGCCACGAUCCCGAUUAAGCCUCAAGGGAAAAGGGCUUAUAUGGGCCGGGCUUAUAAGCCCUAGUUUUAAAUAGGCUUGAAAAAUUAUAUUCCAACCCUACCCCAAUAACGGGUUGGAUUGGACCGGCCCCAUGGGCUAAACCCAUUUUGACGGCUCUAUUCCUGCGUAAAAGUGUGCAUAAUUACAAGUAAAAAUAAAUUCAAAUUCGUUAAUGCUAAAGUAAAUUAGUUUUCUUAAUUUCUUGUUAAGUAGCACCGUAUCAAUUUAUCAAAAUGAAAAAUAACACACCAAACAAAUGAAUUUAGAAAGAAGACAAUAACACCAAGUCAACAACUAUAAAAAUCCAAAAGAAAAUAGGAUCUGCAUUUAAAAUUUAAAGUCAUUAUUAUAUAGUUAAGGAUACAAACAUAAUUUUAAUAUAAUCUUAUUGAAUUAUGGAUUUAUCAUUAACAAAAAUUUUAAACUGAAAAUUGAAUUAGUAACCUAACCAAAAAAAUACAAAACCAUUUCAAAACUAUUUAACUCAAUAUCGAUAAAUUAAUAAUAUUACAGUUUUAACGGAUUAUUGCGUUAUGCAUUAUUAAAAACUAAAGCCGAAAUAACUGGACAAUUUAUUAUUAUUUUUAUAAAACUAUUUAAAAUUCGUUAAAUAAUAACAAUGAUUCAAUAACAUUUCUUUUUAUUCAAUUUGUUGAUCGGCUUAGGUCCCCCACCACCAACAUGAAUGUGAUUUCAUGUUUUGUCCAUUCUUUCUGUCCGCAUUUACUUUUUUCGCAUUUAUUACUCCCUCAUAUAAAAAAGUGACUUUUAGUGAUAAUUAAUUUUUCUUUUAGCGGUAAUAUUUAUUGCUAUAAAUACAUUUAUCAGUAUUUGAUUAAAUGUCAUUGGACUCAAUGUCGUUAAAGUCUUUAGGGUUUAGAGUUUAGGAUUUAGGGUAAAGACCCUUAUUAUUGCCACUAAAAGUAAUUACUUUUAGUGACAUUUAUUUAGCGGCCUAUACUAUUGCCAUUAAAGCUACCUUAGAUAUAUAGAGAAUUUCACAUCGUUUUUUCAAGCUAAAUAUAGAAGAAAACAAAAUCUGCUAUAUAUAUAUAGAGAGAUUUUUUUAGCUAUGUUUUCCUCAAAGCUAUACGAAGCUAAUUAAAUCAAACUCAAGUUUAUCUUGCUGGGUGCUUACCAAUGAGAAUGAGAGAUUGAGAGAUCGAGAAAGAGAGAUCGAGCGGAAAGAAAGAAAAAGAGAAAUUACCUCUUGUUGCGUGCUUCAGAUCGAGCAUGAAGAAACACAAAUCGAUUUGUGCUUCAAAUCAAAUCCAUCAUAGCCAUGGAAGGAAGCUUCAAAUCAAUCCAGAGCUUCAGAUGAAAACACGGCGUGUUUUUACUUUUAAUAGAUCAAAAGAAAAACAUAAAAAAAAAUCAUAUUUUAUCCUUAAUAUUAAUUAAUUGCUUAUUCCUUAAAUUAUUUCUUAAGAUUAUAUAUAUAUAUAUUCAAAAAAUAAAUAUUACUAAAGAGAAACAACACGAAUAAACUCGAUCUAUUUUGUUUUUCAAUGUUGCGUGAUAUUUCUAAGAUGACAAGUAACAAUUAUCAGUUGUGUGACCAUUAUUGUACUGUGGAUGGAACUGUUCAUUUCUCAAUUAAUUAAAAGUUUUUAGUUUUGAGUAUGUAAAAAUCUCCGAAUAGAGGUUAUGCCGUGCGGAUCCAAAUUAGUCAGCUCGGAUGAAAAAAAAUAAUAAUAAAUCAGUUGCGGCUUUCACGUUUGUACUAGGCCAAUAGCAUGAAUUUUCUACAUAAAUAGUGAUGAAACGCUGCACAGCAAAAACACUCAUCCCAACAAUGGCUUCUUCUAUUCUACCUUUGUGCACUACCAAUAUUCCCUCUUGUUUCUUAGCAAAACCCUCUCAGCUUUUCCUCCACGGAAGGCGUAGUCAAAGUUUCAACGUCUCAUGCAACGCUAAUAACAACUCUAGCGAGCAUGACAAAAAUAACCUUGAUGACGAUGUUGUUGAUAGGAGAAAUGUUCUUUUAGGGUUAGGAGGUCUUUAUGGUGAUGCUAAUCUUGCACCAUUAUCCACUGCUGCUCCCUCACCACCACCUGAUUGUAAAACUUGUAGUACAGCCACUAUAACUAAUGGUCCAGUUCCUUAUAGUUGUUGCCACCCUCCUAUCCCCGUAGAUAUGAGCACCCUUCCAUAUUACAAAUUCCCUCCUAUGAACAAGCUCCGUAUCCGUUCUCAUCUUCCUGAUGAGGAGUAUAUUGCCAAGUACAAUUUGGCAAUUACUCGAAUGAAAGAUCUUGAUAAGACAACCUUUAAACCCUCUUGGGUUUAAGCAACAAGCUAAUAUACAUUGUGCUUAUUGUAACGGUGCUUAUAAAAUUGGUGGCAAAAAGUUACAAGUUCAUAAUUCAUGGCUUCGUCAAGGACUCAAGUUUAUUAUCUUUCUCCACUUGAGUCCUUAACUGAGGUACAACGUAAUUAUUAACAUAAAUAUAAGGAAAAAAGAACGAGUGCUAAGAAUGAUUGCUAACAAGUUUAUGUUAAAGGAAAUGAGCACCCACAACCUUUAAAUCCUGGAUCCGCCACUGAGUUUUAACUCCGAAUGUUGUACUUGUUUUGACUUUUUCUAUUCUUAAUUAGUUUAGGCUGACUAACUUUUUCUUUCUUUUUUAUUUUUAACUUUUCCUAUGCUAAAGUAUUGGUCAAGUCAGAUAUGCAUCAAACUUGACCACUUGUUUAUUUGCUUAUCAAGUUGUUUACACUAUGUGAUUGCUAACAGGUUUAUGUUAAAGGUUUACACUAUGUGAUUGCUUAACAGGUUUAUGUUAAAGGAAAUGAGCACCCACAACCUUUAAAUCCUGAAUCCGCCACUGAGCUUUUACUCCGAAUGUUGUACUUGUGAAGCCAUGAAUUAUGAACUUGUAACUUUUUGCCACCAAUUUUAUAAGCACUGUUACAAUAAGCACAAUGUAUAUUAGCUUGUUGCUUAAACCCAAGAGGGUUUAAAGGUUGUCAUAUCAAGAUCUUUCAUUCGAGUAAUUGCCAAAUUGUACUUGGCAAUAUACUCCUCAUCAGGAAGAUGAGAACGGAUACGGAGCUUGUUCAUAGGAGGGAAUUUGUAAUAUGGAAGGGUGCUCAUAUCUACGGGGAUAGGAGGGUGGCAACAACUAUAAGGAACUGGACCAUUAGUUAUAGUGGUUGUACUACAAGUUUUACAAUCAGGUGGUGGUGAGGGAGCAGCAGUGGAUAAUGGUGUAAGAUUAGCAGCACCAUAAAGACCUCCUAACCCUAAAAGAACAUUUCUCCUAUCAACAACAUCGUCAUCAAGGAUAUUUUUGUCAUGCUCGCUAGAGUUGUUAUUAGCGUUGCAUGAGACGUUGAAACUUUGACUACGCCUUCCGUGGAGGAAAAGCUGAGAGGGUUUUGCUAAGAAACAAGAGGGAAUAUUGGUAGUGCACAAAGGUAGAAUAGAAGAAGCCAUUGUUGGGAUGAGUGUUUUUGCUGUGCAGCAUUUCAACAAUAUUUAUGUAGAAAAUGCAUGGUACUGGCCUAGUACAAACGUGAAAGACGCAACUGAUUUUUUAUUAUUUUUUUUUAUCCGAGCUGACUAAUUUGGCAUAACCUCUAUUCGGAGAUUUUUUCAUACUCAAAACUAAAAACUUUUAAUUAAUUGAGAAAUGAACAGUCCCAUCCACAAUACCAUAAUGGUCACGCAACUGAUAAUUGUUACUUGUCAUCUUAGAAAUAUCACGCAACAUUGAAAAACAAAAUAGAUCGAGUAUAUUCGUGUUGUUUCUCUUUAGUAAUAUUUAUUUUUUGAAUAUAUAUAUAUAUAAUCUUAAGAAAUAAUUUAAGGAAUAAGCAAUUAAUAUUAAGGAUAAAAUAUGAUUCUUUUUUUUAUGUUUUUCUUUUGAUCUAUUAAAAGUAAAAACACGCCGUGUUUUCAUCUGAAGCUCUGGAUUGAUUUGAAGCUUCCUUCCAUGGCUAUGAUGGAUUUGAUUUGAAGCACAAAUCGAUUUGUGUUUCUUCAUGCUCGAUCUGAAGCACACAACAAGAGGUAAUUUCUCUUUUUCUUUCUUUCCACUCGGUCUCUCUUUCUCGAUCUCUCAAUCUCUCAUUCUCAUUGGUAAGCACCCAGCAAGAUAAACUUGAGUUUGAUUUAAUUAGCUUCAUAUAGCUUUGAGGAUAAUAUAGCUAAAAAAAAUCUCUCUAUUUAUAGCAGAUUUUGUUUUCUUCUAUAUUUAGCUUGAAAAACGAUGUGAAUUCUCUAUAUAUCUAAGGUAGCUUUAAUGGCAAUAGUAUAGGCCGCUAAAUAAAUGUCACUAAAAGUAAUUAUUUUUAGAGGCAAUAAUAAGGGUCUUUACCGGCAUUCGAUAUAAAUGUUACUAAAGGCUUUAACGAUAUUGAAUCCAGUGACAUUUAAUCAAAUACUGGUAAAUGUAUUUAUAGCAAUAAAUAUUAUUGCUAAAAGAAAAAUUAAUUAUCACUAAAGGUCACUUUUGAUGCGGGGAGUAAUAAAAGCGAAAAAAGUAAAUGCGGACAGAAAGAAUGGACAAAACAUGAAAUCACAUUUAUGUUGGUGGUGGGGGACCUAAGCCAAUCAACAAAUUGAAUAAAAAGAAAUAUUAUUGAAUCAUUGUUAUUAUUUAACGAAUUUUUAAUAGUUUUAUAAAAAUAAUAAUAAAUUGUCCAGUUAUUUCGGCUUUAGUUUUUAAUAAUGGAUAAAGCAAUAAUCCGUUAAAACUGUAAUAUUAUUAAUUUAUCGAUAUUGAGUUAAAUAGUUUUGAAAUGGUUUUGUAUUUUUUUUGUUGGGUUACUAAUUCAAUUUGUUGGGUUUUAAAGGUGUGAACAGGAAAUGAAGGGUUAUGACUCUCCUGAAGAGUUGUAAACUUUAUGAAAGGUUGUGUCCUUUCUAAAGGACUGUGACCGUUUGAAAGGUUAUGCCUUUUCCAAAGUGUUGUGACCUUUCUGAAAGGUUGUCUUCUUUCUGAAAGGUNNNNNNNNNNNNNNNNNNNNNNNNNNNNNNNNNNNNNNNNNNNNNNNNNNNNNNNNNNNNNNNNNNNNNNNNNNNNNNNNNNNNNNNNNNNNNNNNNNNNNNNNNNNNNNNNNNNNNUUCUUUUGCAUACAUUUCUUACAAAACAAAAUCGAUCGAUCGUGUCUGUGUGUGUGAUUCGUUGCUGUCAUUUUGAGUUCGUUGAAAUUAUCGAAGUUUGAGGUACCGCUACUUCUUUAAUGGUUAAUCCGUUUUAUCUUGGGAGGAAUUAAUCUGCAACCUCGGGUGUUUGAGGGGAUUAAAUUUCUUAAGGACACACAGUGGGUUCUGUGGACUCGGAUAGUUCUUUGUGUUUUUCCUUUCAUCUUUUAUUAUUUCUGGUUUGCUAAUCUGAAUAAAGGAGAUAACACAAUUUUCAGUUUUAAAAUUUUAGUUAAUGAUAAAUCCAUAAUUCAAUAAGAUUAUAUUAAAAUUAUGUUUGUAUCCUUAACUAUAUAAUAAUGACUUUAAAUUUUAAAUGCAGAUCCUAUUUUCUUUUGCAUUUUAUAGUUGUUGACUUGGUGUUAUUGUCUUCUUUCUAAAUUCAUUUGUUUGGUGUGUUAUUUUUCAUUUUGAUAAAUUGAUACGGUGCUACUUAACAAGAAAUUAAGAAAACUAAUUCACUUUAGCGUUAACGAAUUUGAAUUUAUUUUUACUUGUAAUUAUGCACACUUUUAUGGAGGAAUAGAGCCGUCAAAAUGGGCUUAGCCUAUGGGGCCGGCCCAAUCCUACCAGUUAUUGGGGUAGGGUUGGGUAGGUAAUGUGAUAAAAUACUUACAUCAAUAAUUAUUUGUUUAAUGGAAUUGUCAUAUCAAACAGUGACCAGGGGCGGAGCUAGGUGGAGUUCAUGGGUUCGGACGAACCCACUAGCUUUUUCGUAGACCUAUAUUUGUAUUAGAAAAUUAAAUAAACAUAUGUAUAUUAACUUGUGAACCCCCAAACAAAUUGAUUUAGAACCCCAAACUCCUAACAUUGGCUCUGUCUCUGACAGUGAAGUAAAAAUGAAGAAAGGAAACAUUUAGGUAUUCACAUUCUUUUCAAACAAGUUUCUCUAAAUGACAAAAAUCACGAGCAUUACCUUUAUGUUGUCCUUGCGUUGAUGGCAAGUCCCACACACAAGGGACCAGAUCAAAGAAGUAAACACAUACUUUCUUUCCAGAAAAAAGUUUUGAAAAUAUUUCUAAAUUUAGCAUGAAUUAUUAGUUUCAUCUUUAAAUUAUAGUUAGGCUUAAAAAUGUUUCUUUACUUGACUAACUGAAUUUAAGUACAUCAUCGAUCUUGCAGUAUGAGUGAAAUACACCUCUAAAUUCUCACCAAGUUUAGGGAUGUUGUCAAUGCUUCUCUCGAUUUUUUAUUAAGAGUCUUAUGCUCUUACAUGAGUUUAGGACUAUUUGCUAUGUCAUGUUGCCAAUCGAGAGUGUAUAUAAGUUUAAUUAGUCAAACAAAAGAAUAUUUUUAAGACUAUCAAUAAUUUCAUGAAUAAAACUAAUGAUUUACGCCAAGCUCAAGAUGUUUUCGAUAGUUCAAUACUUUUGUCCUUGAGUUGAUUGCGAAGAAGGUAGUCUAGGACUACCCUAAGCCUAGAAGAGAAGUAGGCAGGACUUUCAGUUACAAUAAUGUCUAGGUUGGGCAAGCCUCAAAGGCGGCCCCUUUCUUUCCUCGGACCGAUGACUCGCUUGUUCAGUACUGCUAACUAUUAUAGGAGGUCCCACACACAAGGAACCAGAUCAAAGAAGUACACACAUAGUUUCUCACGACCAUAAAAUUGAAUAAAACGAGUAUUGAACUAUGAGUCCUUAAAUAAAGGUUUUAUCAACUCCAAGGUAAUGUAUUGCAAAUACAUGGCUGACCUUUUAUCAAGUAGAAUUAAUUUUUAAUUUUAGAUUACUAUAUGAGGUUAAAUAAAGGUUUUAUUAUGUCAUCUAAAAAUACUAUAUUCAAAGCAAUAAGUACAUAAAAAAAAUAUAACUCUAAUUUAUUUAUUUUUUAGUGGAUGUGUAUAUAGUUAAGACUUCGUAUUAAAAUUUUAUUUAUGCCACUAAUUUUAUUGAGACGCUCAAUUAUUUGAAUUUCCAAAUAGUAGUCUUGACAAUAUGCAUAAAAAUAUGAUAUUCUUGAUAAUUACUUUAAGUACCUGAGUAUUUCUAACUUUAUAUCAAGAGGAGUUUAGAAACGAUGCAUGCGUAAUUAUCUGUCCGAAUACAUAUGUAACUUUUUAAACCUGUAUGUAUUAGUAGUAAUUAUAUUGUCAUCCCUACAACCUUUAACCAUAAUUUAGCUAAUUGCAUGAACUGUGAUUUUUUUUUCCUUUUAUAGAAACCAUCCGCCAAGAUUUGAUCACCUUUUCGGGGGUGAAGGUUUGGUCUGGAACCCUACCUUAUGUAUUUUUUAAACAAAAGAAUAAAAGAAGGGAUCAAACAUUACCUCUCGUUACAAGGGAAUAUGAAGGAAGGGGGAAAAAACUUCAAUUUAAAGAUAGCUAAGAUAGACAAAAGACUCUAUCAUUUAUGUAAAAUGGAGAGAUAUUCAGAGUUUGAUUACACAAUUUAUUCUCAAUUUUAAAACUAAGCAGCAUCUCCCUAAAUCAAAACAAAAUGAAUGAUCAGAGAAGAUUAAAAGUCCAACAUUUUUGUUGCCAAUAAAUUAAAUAAAAUUACUUCUAAAAGUCAUAUUUUUAAUAAAUAUUAAUUUGUGAUAGUUAUUACAUAUAAUGACCACAGUAAAUAUUUUAAUUUCCUUUUUAGCAUUCAUUUUUGUUGUCAGUAAAUGUAAAUAAUUGUCUCUAGAAGGCCACUAGAUUUAACAAGUAUGGUUUAGACACUAAUGACAAUGGCUACUAAAUUCUUUUAGAAAAAUGAUCUAAGUUGCUAAUAAAUUUAAUCAAAAUGUUAGUAAAAGGGAGCCUUUUAGUGGCAGCAAAAUUUAGAAAAUGCUAAAAAAAUAAAUAUAAAUCACUAUUAAUUCAUAAAAACAUAAUAUGUCCCUUUAGCUCUAACAAACAAAAGAAAAUACUAAUCCAAAAUGUUACUGUAACAAGGUUAACAACGGUGAAAAUAAAUCUUUGACAUUUAAAAAUGCAUAUUUUCAUAAGAUGAAAAAUAUGUAUUAAUGGAACAUUUACUCAUAGUUAUCACAUUAUUUAGUGAAAUCAUACUUACGAACGUAUGUUAGUUAAAAAGGAGGAAAGUAAUAAAAAGGGCAAUAAAAAUGUAGUUCAUAUAGAAUACAUAUGCAUCCUAUUAAUACAUGAAUCAUAGUAAUUAGUUGUAAUGCAAAAAACAUUUUACAAUAAAAAUCUCUACAUAAGUUCUCAGUUAAUCCUGACAAAAAAAAUACCAAAGUCUUUCGAUGCAUGAAGAAUUAUUAUUUUCAUUUCAAAUAUUGGAAGUGCGUUAUAAUUACCUGAAUAUAUAAAUGUUUUGAAAAUUAAUACUCCAAUUUAAGAAUAUGAAUGGAGUCUCUCGAUGUCUCUAAAUACUCCUGAAUUGAAUUUCUCUAGAUACAAGUGACAGAUAUCAUUUUAUUAAAUGAUUUGAAUUUAAAUUAAAUAAAUCCAUAUUGUUAACUUUUUAAUACUAACAGUAUAUAAAAUAUAAACUCAAAAAAUAAGGGUGCAAAACUACAAAGUUAUAAAUGCACAAUAAUGCCAAUAACUUAAAUCUGAAAUAUGUGAAAUUUAUGAAAAAAAAUAUAGAAAAAGUUACAUGAAUUGUCAAACAUAGAUAUUUUUGCGACAAUUAAUUUAUAAAAAAGAUUACACAGGAUAAAGAGAAUACGUGAGAGAUUCGAACAAACAUUAAUGAUAAUUCAACCCUCGAGAAAUUCAAUGGCCACACUUUGGAUGGAGAUCACAUCUCCACCGUUUUUAGGAACCACAGUUACCGUAAUGGUAUCAUCGUCUUCAAGUCCAAUGUCCUCUAAAAGUUUGGUAAUGUCUAGCUGAAACGUCUCACCAUAAUCCAUUUUCUUAUUAUGUGCAUGAACAUGGGGCAAGUUGGCAUAGCUCCCCGCGAACUCCACCUUAUCAAGCUCAUUUGUAUAAUUGUAUUCACGUUCUCUUCCUCGUUGAGGAACACAUCAAAACUUAUAUAUUUGCUAGUAUCAUACUUUAAACCCUUGAAUAUUAGCACCUCUUCUUUUUCGUCUUUAUCCUUUUGACUCCUUGACGUAGUUGGCCUAUUGAUGGAAAACGAAAUGGGUUUGUUGAGGUUAGCAAUUGGGAAUACCUUGUUUGCUGGCUCAAUGUUUGUUAAAUCCACUUUUCCUUCUCUCCCCUUUCUUGUUGGCCUACAGUUGAUCCAUGGGAGGGCUGCUGGCACGUAAUCAUAACCCAUCUUCUUCGUAUCCAAACAGUCUCCCACUCUCACACGGUAAGGCCUUUGGUGUUCAUCGUAGAAAAAGAAUUCGGAGUUCAACCAAUCUGUGUCUGUGAUAUCCCUUUUUUUCCCGCCUAAUCCUUUCCAUAUAUUCCACAUUGGCGUGGUGGCUAUAGAAAACCGGGUCUAAACUUCACCGAAUGACAGUUUACCACCACCCAAAUCUGUAUUUCUGACAGUACCAGCCCAAAUGUGGACCGAAGUAUGAGGGAUGUUUUCAAUAGUUCCCAGAUCAUUAUUCUCAAGGACGUAACGAGCACCAAAGAAUUGCAAAGGGCAUGCAGCAUUAGUUAUCAUUGAACGGUACAUAAGAGUUAAGUUGUUAGUCACCGUCUUUUUAACAUCAGUAGUAACUUCGUCACUAGGAGAACUAAAAUCGAUUAUGGUUCCAUUUCCACACGUCUUGCAUCAUAAAGGGGAGUAUUUCACGAUCGAACAUGGGAGGUAAACGCAUACGCUUUGGAUGGUCCCAAUUCCAAUAUGGUAAAGCGAAAGUUGGAUCAUCAAUGAGUUAGUUUUCCCAAUAUUCUCUCGUAGAAGUACAAGUACCAUCUAUGAAACGGAAAGAAAAGCCAAUUGAAAUGAACUUGUAAAACAUCAUCACCAAAUUUGUAAGCACCGUUGCAAUAAGCACAAUGGAUAUUGGCUUGUUGCAUGAAUGAACGAGGGUCCUUUUUAUCCAGGUCUAUCAUUCUUUGAGUGGCCAAUUGGUACUUUGCAGUAUAUUCCUCAGUCACGUCUUGAGCAACGGGACGUUGUUUACGAAGCUUAUAUAUGGGAGGAAACUUGUAAUAUGGAAUGUUGUUCCAGUCAUCUGGUGUAGGAGGGCAACAAGUAUAUCCUACUUCUUCUGUACUCUGCGUUUUUAUGGCUUUACCACACGAUUUGAGAUUAGGUGCCGGUAUAGGAGAAGCAGAGGCUAAUGGUGCAAGAUUGGAAGCACCAUAAAGUCCUCCUAAACCAAGAAGCACAUUUCUCCUUGCAUGAGACAUGGAAACUUUGGCUACGCCUUCUCUGCCGAGAAGAUUUUGCAAAGAAAGACGAGUGUGUAGUAAUAAUGAGAGUUUUGCUACUCUGCUCACCAAGACUUAAACAUAGAAUUAAUGGAACAAGAAGAAGCCAUUAUUGAGAUGACUGACAAUUGUUCUCAUUCCUAUCAUCUAUAAAUAUAGACUAAUAGAAAUAAUCAUAAAGUUACAUAAAAACAAAAAACAAAAAUGUGUAACCGCUAAAGAACAAACAUGUGAUAUUUAGAUAGAAUCAAUCUAUCCGUAUUAUAUGUACGGACACGAUAAAGAACACUGAUUUCAAUAAGUUUGAGAUAUUCAAGAUAGAAUCUAUCUAUAUUGUGUACGAAUGAUAAAAAAACAGUCAUCCAUCCAGUAAGCUAGCUUGAUAUAUUCAAGAUAGAAUCUAUCUAUAUUGUGUGCGCGGAUGAUAAAAAAAACAGUCAUCAGUCCAGUAAGUUUGAGAUAUUCAUGAUAGAAUUUAUCUAUAAUGUUAUAUCAGAUUAUAUUCCAUCCAACUUUAGUGUAAGAUUUGUGCUUAAACUAAGCAACCUAAUUAGAAUAACAUGCUGAAUUAUUAGAGUAAAUCCAUACUAUUUUUUAUGAGACUUGAAACAAACAUGAUUAGAGGUGCCAAAUACAUUUAUAGAUGAUUUCUCUAGAUAUACAAAAGUAGAUUUUUUAAGAAAUAAAUAUAAAGCUAUGAUAUAUUUAUUCUUAAAGUAGGAAAAAUAAGUUUUAUAAGUAAUUUUGUAUGUUUAUUGUAUCCUUCCCACUCACUCCACCUCUUGACCGCCACCACCCCACUGCCUACCCUUUCUACUCGAUAGUGUUUUAUUAAACUACAUAUAAAUACUUUUUAAAUAACAUUUUUUUUGCUUAAUUACUUACCAAACACAGAAAAUAACUAAGAAACCAACUUGUUCUCCAUGAUAAAUAUUCUUCUUCCUACCAAACACACCCAUAAAGCUGUUUGGAGUGUCUAACUCAAAUGGUAAGUUUUUGCUCAUCAAUGAUAUAAUUAAUGGACACGAAGUUUAAAUUUUAAAAAUCUUGAAAAGGAUAACAUGAAAAACGUUAAUUCAAUGGGUCUCCAAUUUUUUUUUAAAAUUAAAUUAUGGGUUUAAGAGAUCAUGUUACUGUCUAUUUAUCUAAUUGUAAAUUUACAAAAAACAAAAAGGAGAGGACAUUGACCUAACUUCCCAUAUUUAUCCACGCUACACCAAAAAUGAUCUUUAGCGGCAAUUAACACUCUUUGUAAAUGUCUCUAAAAUCUAUAGCGACAUUGAAUCUAAUGACAAUUAACUAAUACCGGUAAAAACUUUAACAUUCUUUGUUAAUGUAGAUAUUUAUUGUCGCUGAAAGUUGCUUUUGUUGUAGUGUAAAAAAUAAUGUGAUUUAAAAACAUAAAAUAAAAAUACAAUUUUUGGAGAAGAAUAAAUAUUUAUUAUGGAGGAUAGAAUAUGGAGAAUAAUAAAAAAUCUUUAUUUGGAGAAGCAUAAUUUUUAACUAAGCCAGAUAUUAUCCCGAUUCCCGAGAACAAUAAACUAAGAUUUGUGGGUCUUUUGUUUUGUUAAUAGUGAAUUAGUGAUUAUACCUUGUAAUUAUAGAUUGACUAAGUGCAAUGAUGAAUCAAAUUAAAUGGAUUGAAAAUAUUUUUAACCUUUCUUCGUUUUAAUUAAAAAUAAUAGUUUUCCACGUUUUUGUUGUGGCAAAGAAAAAGACAAGUUCAUAGUUGUCUUUUUCUAAGAAAUCCAUACUAAUUUUUAUGAGACUUGAAAUUCAUAGUGCACUCUUGUGGACACUAUUAAUUAUCAUAGAUUUUUCCACCUUAGGUUUUGUGUUAUUAUUUUUUUUAAAUAAUUUUUUAUUGCAUUGAACAAUUAGAUAACACAUUUUAAGAAAUUCUUUUGCUCUUCCCUAUGAUGAAUCUACCAAAUAUUUUUUGAAUGAUACGAUUUUAACCUAAUCUUUUUAUACCAAAUAUUUUUUGAAUGAUACGAUUUUAACCUAAUCAUUUUAUCUGAACAGGCGAACAUAACAAGUAAUGAAUUAGUACACUCAAUUAGGUGCAGUGUGAUAGUUUGCUCUCAUAAAAACUAUAAAAUUAAAUUGUUCCGCUAGAACAAUAGCAAAUAUAUACUCGUUACUCAGAUGUGAAGCUAGUAAAACGUUGACUUUAGGACCUCAAAUAUUGAAGCCUCAAAAUUCUUUUGAUAAUAAAUUUAUGAUUUUAUUUUCACUUAAAACAAAAUUGAGGAUCAUAAUAAAAAAGGUUCAAAUUAGUUAAGUAUUAAAAGGACAGCAAGAAAAACUAUCUAUGGUUUAUCAAAAAUAUUUUAGAACUUGAAUUAAGUAAUAACUUAAAUUAUCCUAUUAAUAAGUAAAGUUCUUACAAUAAUAUCCAAGGUAAUGAAUUGCAAAUACAUGGCUAAUCUUUUAUUAAGUAGGAUUAAUAUUUAAUUUUAUAUUUCUAUAUGAGGUUAUAUAUAGGCCUUACUAUAUCAUCUAAAAAUAUUACAUUAAAAGCAACAAGUAUAUAUAAAAAAUAAAAAAAUAUAACUCUUAAUUUUUAUUUUUUUGUCUAUUUAUAUAUAUAUACUAAAGACUUCUUAUUAAAAUUUUAUUUUAUGCCACUAAUUUUUGAUAAAACGUCCAUUGAAGAAAUGAUGAAGACCUUCUAGAUCAUUCUUAGAGCUUAACAGAGAGAGUAAAUAACUGCUUGUGUGUAUUGAUUAGAAUGAAUACAGAAUGAAUGUACAUUUAGUGUAUCUACUACUAUUUAUAGAAUGACUAACUAACUGAUUAGUCUAACUAACUACUACAUAAUCUGUUAUAACAAAAUUCCAGUAAUACAAUUACUAUUUCAUCCUUUCUCUACAAUCAUCUCAACAUCCCCUUCAAGCUAGAUGUUGUAAACACAUUCAAGACUCCUAGCUUGGACAGUAGAUGAUAAUGUUGACAGCUUCCAAGUCCUUUUGUCAGCAAGUCUGCUUCCUGCUCAGUUGUUAAGACAUACUCUGGAUGUAUCAAACCUUGUUGCACCUUCUCCCUUAUAAAAUGACAAUCAAUCUCUAUAUGCUUUGUCCUCUAGGAAACACUGGAUUAUUUGCUAUUUGCAUGGCUGACUUACUACCUGUAAACAGCUGAAUUGGUGUAGGAACAUCAACACCUACACAUUUGAAUAAAUCAAUCAGCCAAAUCAACUCAGACACUGUUAAAGCCAUACUUCUGUAUUCUGAUUCUGCUAAACAACUAGCUACAGUGUUUUGCUUCUUGGAUUUCCAUGAUAUCAAGGAUUGACCAAGCUUCACAGUGUAACCAGUUACAGACCUUCUUGAGUUAGGACAACGUGCCCAAUCAGCAUCACAAAAUACUGUCAAAAUACCUUUUCCUUCUGCAUGCAUUAGAACACCAAGUCCUGGCUCAUUUUUGAGAUAUCUGACCACCCUGUGUGCUACUUCUAAAUGAGACUUCUUAGGAUCCUGCAUGAACUGGCUUAAAGUUUGAACACUAUAGGCAAUGUCAGGCCUAGUUAGUGUCAAAUAAAGUAGUUUUCCUAUCAACAUUUGAUACCCUCUCACAUUUGGCAAAUGUGGAUCAUUUUCCAGACCACCACAUUGUUGAUCAUAUUCCAAGCUUGUUAGCUUCUGAUUUUGCUCAAGUGGUGUAAGUGUUGGCUUGCAGCCACCCAAACCCAACUCAGCUAUAAGCUCCAGAGUGUACUUUCUUUGACAUAAUAAAAUACCUUUCUUAGACCUGCAUAUUUCUAUUCCCGAAAAAUACUUCAAUGGUCCAAGAUCCUUGAUCUUGAAGGCUGCAUGUAACACACAUUUUGCCUCUUGUAUAAGGUCCUUGUCAUCUCCAGUAAUCAACAAGUCAUCAACAUAAACAAUGAUAAUCACCUGUCUAGAAUUUCUUUUCAAAACAAACAAGGAAUGAUCCUGUUGACUUUGAAUAAAACCAGCUGACAAUAGUGUAUUUGUGAUCUUCAAAUUCCACUUUCUAGAGGCUUGCUUGAGGCCAUUAAGAGAUUUGAGGAGUCUACAUGCCUGAUCACCCCCUUGACUACCAAAUCUUGGAGGAAACUGCAUAAACACCUCUUCCUUAAGGUCACCUUGCAAAAAGGCAUUAUACACAUCCAUUUGAAACAAGGGUCAUUGGUGCAUAGCAGCCAAAGCAAUGACAGCUCUCACAAUUACCAUUUUGACUACUGGGGAAAAUGUUUCUUAAUAAUCUAAGCCUUCUUGUUGAUUGUACCCUUUAGCAACAAGUCUGGAGUUAAAUCUCUCAAUUGCACCAUUAGAUUGAUACUUGAUAUUGUAUACCCACCUACAACCAAUAGGUUUCUUGCCUUUAGGAAGAGGAACAACCUCCUAAGUGUGAUUUUGAACCAGUGCAUCAAUCUCUGAUUGCAUAGCAGAAAUCCACCUAGGAUCCUUUAAGGCUUCUUCAUAGGAAGUAGGCUCCACUUCAGAUGAAAUAGCAACCAGGAAGGACUGACAUUUGGAAGAAUGACCAGAGUAGUCGAUAAACUUGGACAAAGGAUAUAAACAAGCAACAUUCCCCUUAACAUGAUGGACAUAAUCCUGAAGCCAAGUUGGAGGCCUGGUACCUCUAGUGGACUUCCUUAACUGAGGUUGUGAGGAAAGAUAAGGAUCAGAUAUAGAAGGGGUAGGACAAGACUCAACUGGUGGUGAGAUGAGAGACAAAUCAGCGGAUAAAAGAGAUGUGAUAGAAUCAGUAGGUGCAGGAUUUGAAGGCAUAUUAUCAGGACUAGAUAGAUCAAAGAACAUAGGAGUAUUGUGUUUUCUGGUUUUCAGUAACAAGAAAGGGAAAACAUGUUCCUUGAACACAACAUCUCUACUGACAAAGAACCUCCUAGAGUUGAAAUCAUGCAGUUUGUAGGCCUUUUGUGUGGAGGAGUACCCUAUGUGGACUGCAGGAAUUGCUCUAGGGGAGAACUUGUCUACUUCGGAUGGGACAGUGGCAAAACACAAACAUCCAAGAACCCUGAGAUGAGAAAGACAUGGAGUAUGACCAUGGAAAACCUCAUAGGGAGACUUCCCAUUUAGAACCACUGAUGGUAACCUAUUAAUGAGAUAUAUUGCUGCCAGUACACAGUUACCCCAAAAAGAAAUAGGAGAGUACCUUAAAACCUGACUGCCCUUGCCACCUCUAGAAUGUGUCGAUGUCUCCUUUCCACCACUCCAUUUUGUUAUGGAGUGUGUUGGACAACUACUCUGGUGUCCAAUACCAUGCUUGACCAAGAAUUCUGAGAACUCCUUAGUAAAAAACUCAGCACCAUUAUCAGUCCUGAUCAUUUUCACCUGCUUGGUAAACUGAACAUGAACCAUUUUGACAAAGGAUUGUAGUAACACAAAUGAAUCACUUUUGAGUUUCAUUAAAAAGACCCAAAUCAUCUUGGAAUGAUAAUCCACAAUAGUGAGAAAGUACCUAUGACCAGUAAUAAUAGGGACUCUAUAAGGACCCCAUACAUCAAUGUGUAAUAAAUGGAAAACAUCAGUUGCUAUGGAAAUACUAAGAGGAAAUGGUUUUCUGGUUUGUCUAGGUAAGGGACAAACAGUACAAUCAUUAAAACUACAAAGUGGCACUUUAUUUCUGUAGGAAAUGUAGCUUCUUUAUGACAACAGCAGGUACAUGACCCAGCCUCUUAUGCCAAACUUGCACAUCUUUAGACAAUUUUUUUGUAACAUUGCUGCUAGCAUUUACCCUUUUAUCAACAACCUUCUCAGAAGUCCUAGGAAGUAGGAAAUAGAGACCUCCUUUCUCUUUACCAAUCCUGUAACAUCUCACAAUUUGAAAUAACUAGGAAGAAGCUUAUAAUUGGAAAUAGUCAUUUUUUAAAAGAAUUAAAAUCUGGAUAUUUGUUUUAAGUUAGGAAAAGUUGAGUUUUGGUCAACUUCAAAAGGCAAUAAUUCCUAGCUCAGGAUGAGUUAGGUGUACUUCCAGAUAUGGUUGCAAAGCUCUUGGAAGUAUCUUUCCAACGCCGCCGAGUUUGCACAAAUCCGAGUUCGUAUGAGUGAGUUAUACCCUUUGGAAGUUGGGCUAUUGGAAUAAGGAAAGUCCAAUCCGGAUUUUUAUAGAGUAGUUUGGUCUUUUCCUUAACCUUUUAUUUAAUUCGUUUUUUGGGUAAUUAAUGUGGGAUCUAAGCUGAAUUAGAUCAGUUUACACUUUUACCAAAAGAGUUAGGGUUUGGAGAGAAAACAAAAGAAGAGGAGAAAGGAGAAGAGGAAGCAAGAACGUUCAGGAUUCGUCGAUUUCUUGGAGCUUUGCUCGUGGAUUUCGUCAGGGGGAUCCCUACAAGGUAUGUGAGAUCACAUAGCGUUGGGUUAGUUCACCCACGCGCCAAGCAUGUUUAAAUUCAGCGUAUUUUCGUCCUAAAAAGAUUGAGAAUUUGAUGUUCUUGAUAGUUGUUCUUGAAUUGAUUUCGUUCUUGAACAUGAGUUGGGAUUAAGGAGUUUCUUGAUGAUUAAGUGUUGUUUCUUUAAGUUGUUGGGUUAGAUUUUGUGUAUAUGAUAUGGGUACAUGAAUCUAAAGUGAAUUUCAAAAAAAGAAUCGAAUUCAAAUGAUUUAGGAUCAGAAAACAAGAUCAAUAGGUCGUUAGAAUUUUGCCUGAAGGGAGGCUGGCGCGACGCGCCCCCAUAGCGCCAGGCAGGCUGGGGCGGCGCGCCAACAGUGCGCCAGAUUUGAGCCCCAGUAAGUUGGGGCUGGCGCGGCGCUCCCAAGAUGCGCCCAAAUCAUUGUUUUCACCAGUUUUCGUCGUUUAGCCUAUUUAAGUCCUUCUAAAGUGUAUUAACACUUCCUAUUGAUUCUAACUACUCUAAAUGACUUCUAAACAUCUAGAAAUCAUCCAAAAACAUGAAUCAUAGCUUUGAAUCCAUAAAUUCAAAUUCAAGAAAAGUUAAGAGCCAAGUUUAGGAAGUUCUUCGAGUCUUUUCAAGAAGUCUUUUGCAAAUGCUUUUUAAGACUUACAGUUCAAGUUGAGUAAAGAUAUAAGUUCAUUUCUUCAAAAGUAUAUGGGGACUAAGUAUUCCCAAAGAGAUUUAAAAUAUUUUUACAUUUAAAUAAGAACGGAAACUGAGAUUUUCAAAGAGUCUUUGGCCUAGUUUUCAGAAAAGAGAAAUAGCUUUCUAAAUGAAGCAAGCAGGGAAACUAAGAUUUCUGAGAUAGCUUUUGAGCUAAGUUUUUGAGCACUAAUCUCAAAUCAUAGAAGAAGUAUGUUUUUAAACAUAAAGAACUAAGUAUUUUUGGGAGUAGUAUUGAGCACCGAUAUGGGAUGCGAGUUUAUAUUAACUCAAGUCUCCAUAAACCAUGUAGACAUCAUGGGUAGAAAAGGGUCAUACUUUUUAGAUGAAUCAUUUUCGCAUAGACUAGUGGAUCCACUUAGUGAGUUAGCUUCCUAUAUCACGGCAAGGUAUAGGAUGGGCCUCGGCAGCGUGAUGUAAACCGUUAUAUCAUCACUAUAGUUCUUAAGUGAUGGUUGUCGGUUAGAGAAACUCCCACAAUAGUAGUAGCAUGGUUCCUCACGGGGUUCUACUUAGCAUGAAUGGGGGUAUGGGACUUCAUUCAUGCAUUGCACAAGUAGACUUUGGAGAGGGAGCAUGGUUUGUCUUUUUUAUGAUAUUAUGAUUAUGAAUUGACAACAUGUUUUUCAACAGUUUUUAUUUAUAUUGCACUUGUUUUAAACUUCUUUAUAAUGAAAUGAGUUUAUUUAAGUAUUCAAGAGUUGAGAAGAGCCAAGGUAAGUGUUUCUUUCAUAAUCUCUUUCGAGCCUAUGUUGUUUUAGCAUUCCAACUCGAAUACUCGUACAUUCAAUGUACUUAUGCCAAUUGGCCUGUAUCGUCUUAUGAUGCAGACACAGGUAACUAAGAUCGGCAUCCGGCUCAUUCGUUGAUCCAGUGAGCAGUUCAGAGUCUGUUGGUGAGCCUCUUUGCAUUCCAGAGGACUCCUUCACAUUGUUUUCAGUUUUAGUAUUAGUUCAUUAGGAUGUCGCGGGCCUAUUCCGACAUCCACCUUAGUUGUUUAGAGGCUUCAUAGAUAGUCAGACAGUCAGUUAGUAAAUUCAGCUGUCUUUAAUUUUUAUUUCAUAUGUUAAGACUUGAGUUGCCAUUUUGGCCAAGUUGAAUGUUGACUAUUAAACAUUCUAAGUUAUUUCAUUAGUUAGAUUGAGUAGUAUGCUAUUGAUCUUUAUAAAUAUGCAUAUAGUCUUUCGCUGAGUUAGUAAUCCAGGCCAAGUGUUCGCUUGAGGCCAGCAAUGGUCUUCAAGUGCCGGCCAUGUCCAGGGUGUAGGCUCGGGGCGUGACGAAUCCCCCUCACUUUCCCAGUACAUAGGUCCUGGAAAACACAAAAAUAUGGAAAAAAGAGCACUGAGCAUUGCAAUUCUUUUGUCAUCUUUGAGACUGACAUCAGAUUGUAUUUGAAGUCAGGCACUUACAACACAUUUUCAAUGGUACAAUCAUUUGAAAUAUGACAUAUGCCUUGAUACUGAACUGACACAUUCUUACCAUUUGGCAUAAGUACACUACUUUUUAUGAGAUCAUGCAUAUUACUCAAGUUAUUCAGCAAAUCCAGAUUAUUAGUCAUGUGAUCUGUUGCUCAACUGUCUACUAUCCAGGGCUUACAAGCCUGUAUAGAAGAUGAGUUAUAGAAAGCAUUACCUGCCAUGCUCCCAGCCAGCUCUACUCCCUUGUUGUCAAGCAUAUUCAUUAUCUGAUUAUAUUGGUCAUCUGUGAAGUAGUUUUGUCCUUUGCUGCCAUCAUGCUCAACUCUUGAAUGACAUUGAGACCUUUGAACAGUACCACCACAAUUGUUUUCGGCAUGCUGUGUGAAGUUGGCUCUCUGAAGGGUAUGGUUGUUGCUUGCAGGCAUUAUGAGAACCAUUAGAAGAUCCUCCAGCAUUCCCUUUGUGCUGAAUAUUAUCUUAUUUGUCACUAACAUAAUCAUAUGCAGACAUAUUUGCUUGUCUUGAUGGUCCCCAAUUGUUCUCUCCCAUGACAUUGUGGUUAAGUUUGAUUAGUGGUUUUUUCUUUCCCCUGUAGCCUGGUGGAUAGCCUAUUACCCGAUAGCAAUUACCUUCACGAUGGCCUUUCCUUUGACAGAUAUCACAAAAAAAUUGUUAUUAGAACUACUAUUACCCCCAUAAUUGUUGCCAUAGUUAUUAUUAUUGUUGAAUUUUCUUCCUUAUGAUUGAGUAUUAUGAAUACUCAUUAGGGCUGUACUUUCAUUCGACUCAAUUCCUACACAUGAACUGGAUUCACAGAUCUUCCUUUGACUCUCCUCAUGCACAAGCAUAACAUGUGCUUGGCUAACAGAGGGAGAUGGCAUCAUAAGUAAGAUUUGACUCCUAAUAGCACUGUAGGACUCAUUUAAUCUCAUCAUGAAGUGAAACAAUUUCUGUUGUUCUAGAUGCAGCUUAAAAUCCUUCGAUGCAAGACAUCCACAUAUAGCAGGCACUAAUGAACAAUACUCAUCCCAUAACAGGCGCAAUCGUGAAUGAUAAGUAGAGAUAUCAGAAGUACCUUGAGAAAUUGUGGCUAUUUCUCUGUGAAGAUUGUGGAUCCUUGAUCCAUUCACCUUAUCAAAUCGCUCAUGUAGAUCCAUCCACACAGCAUGAGCAUCGCCUGCAUACAUAAUCCCAUUUACUAGCUCUUUCGAAACUGUAUUCAUAAUCCAAGUUAGGAUUGUUGCAUUCACUCGUUCCCAUUCUUCUGCUAGUACUACAACAAAUAUGAUAUAUAGCUAUGAAAUUAUUAGCUACGACAUAAAAUUCGUCAUUAAUUGUUCACUUUUAGUGACAAAAAUUACUUUUCGUGCUUAAAUAUACAAGGCAUAUACUUUUGGUGACGAAACAUAAUAGUUCGUAGCAAAGUUUUGUCCACUAAAGUUUCCCACCAAAAAAUGUAUUGGCGCCAUUUAUUGAGUACUGUCAGUCACGAAUUUAAAGUUACCAGUGACACAUUAUUUCGUCACUAAUGAUGUUUUUAAUUUGUGACAACUUAUUUUUGUCUUAAAAUUAAUUAAUUUUUUGACGCAAAAUAAUUUCGUCUCAAAAAAUAUGUUGAUACAAUAGCGACAAAUUAGAAUUUAUAGUUAAAUAUUCUAAGUUUUAGCUAUAAAAAUUUAGAUUUUAUUGUAACAUUUAUUUUCGUCACUAAUAAUAUAAUUAAUUGGUGACAAUUAUUUUAUUGUCUCUAAUCAACCUACGAUUUAGUGACAACAAAAAAUUGUCACAAAAUAUGUAUGAUAUUAAAUAGCGAUGACUUAGAAUUUGUAGUUGAAUAAUUCAACUAUUUGCUACAAAAAUAUUCAUUUUGGGUACGAUUGUUUAUAAUUAGAGAAUUUCAUAAAUGGUCCAUCAACUAUUAAAGUAGGUCUAAAAUAGUCCUAUAACUAUACAUUUAUCAUAUUUAGUCCUUUAACUAUUCAAAAUAUUAUCAUGUUUGGUCUCUUAAUUAUAUACUUACCAUUUUUAGUCUCUUGACUAUGCAUUUACUAGUUUUAGUCUUUAAGUAUUCAAAAAUUUAUCACGUUUGGUCUCUUUGAUUAUUUUUAUAAAAAUAGUACUCAUGUCUAUGUGAAAUUAUAUCUUUAACCCAUUUUUUAGUUAUUUCUCUUUCCCACUACUUUUUCUUCAAAUUACUCUGAAAAAAAGAACCUUACCUCAAUGAUUCAAAACAAAAUUCACGGUAAAAGAAGAUACAAGUCCUGAUUUUUAUUCAAUGGAGGAUGAAAUCAAAUAUAUUAUUGCUACCAAUGACUUGAGAAUGCUAAAAUUUAUUAUAAAAGAAAAAUGUUAUUACUGGUUAGUUGUAGAAAGAAAUUUAUUUAUAUUUAAUACAAAUGAAUUUCCUGCAAUUAGAAUAAAAUUAAAAAAAAUUUACUCGUAUAUUUUGAUUCCAAAUUUUGUACUCCAAUGACUUUAUUAACGGGAAUUUAUUUAAUAUCUUAGAAGCUGAAAUUUAUAAAAUGGUAGAUUUUCCACCAUUUUUAAGAUUUUUUUUAUUUUGAAAUAUAUCAAUUUUAUUAUUAUGUUCAUUUGAUUUUUCGUAGAGAAAUUGAAUAAUAAUAUCAAAUCUUUUAUUUAUUUUAUAUGAAAAAAUGGAAAAAAAUAUUCACGCUAAUUAUGAACCGUUAACCACUAAAGAAGAGAACAUUUAUUUUUUUGUUGGUAACUGUACAGACUAACUCGAUCUAUUUGCUUCUGUCUAAAAAUACAUACAUAAUUAGUAGUGGAUCUUUUUACGUAGAGCAACUCUAUUGAGAGUCUAUCGACUUACAAACUUAGACUGCAAAGAUGCAAAAUAUUUCAUGGGUUCUAUUACCUUUUUCAUCCGUGUGGAAAAUUGAAAAUAAACUAAAAAAAAAUGAAAGCACAAAUGAAAGAAAUUAACCAACUAUGAUUUUGAAUAUAUUAAGAUAAAGUACUAUCAUUGUGGGUAUCAAUAUUUUUUUAAAAUUUGAUUUACCGAUCGAAGCGAACCGAGUAUUAGUAUUUCUUUUAAUAAAGUCGAAUGUUUUAUUUUAUAUAACUUUAUAAUUAUACUGAAUAAUGUUUUAAUUUAAAAUAGUGUAUACACUUGUUUAUACGUGUAUAAUAGUGUAUAAAAGGUGCUUAUAUACAUUUUUAUAUUGUUAUACAUAAUUAAACUACACAUACACAAAUCAAUUGUAGAUAAUUUUUAAAUAAUGUACCUGCACUUUAUAAGUGUGUAUAAACAUUGAUUAUAUACAAUUAUAAUAUAGGACACCUUUCAAUCAUCACGAGUGUUCACACCCAAUUUUGAUAAUAUGCAAUUCGUAUUAAUUAUCGAGCUUCUUCAAUUUGAAAUCAUUAUUUUUGAAAUUUUCAAAAAUAUUUUAAAUAUAUUCUCUAAAUAGUUCUGUUAGUUUUCAUAAAUAAUUAUAUAACUAUAUAUAUAUAUAAAACUUUAAAUUAGUUAACUUCAUAUUUAUGUAUAAUUAUUAAUUAACUUAUGUCUUAAGAAAUAUUUUGUCUUAUUUUAAAUUAAGAACCUCAAAUAAUUAAUCAAUCGAAUUUAGCUAAUUGAUUCGAUUUGGCAAUAUUCAAAUUCAAUUGACUAAAUUCCUAAUACAAUAGGCCACUCAAUUCAGCUAAGAUUACAAUCGUUUGGCCAUAUUUUGAAUUCUUUAUUCUAAGACCCUCAUAUCCUCAUACAUCUAGAGUCAAUUAGGUCAUUUUAUAGAUUAUUAUAUUUGAUUUAAUAUAUUGUGUAGACACGUAAUUUUUUAUCAAACUUAAGUUUAACAUUAUUUUUAGUGCUUAAAUAUUUUUUUAAAAUUUAAAUUAAUUAUUUUAAUUUUUAUUUUAUUUUAUUAAGUUUAUUUUAAAUGAUUUGAAAAGCACAAAAAAUUGAAUCGUAAUUUUAGGUAAGUUUUAUUUUUUCAAUUGUUUUAAAAAGAAAUAAAAAAUAUAAUUUUGUUUAUAUGUUUUCUUUAAUUUAGGUUUAAUAAAUAAGCUAGUAAUUUUAAUAUAUUCUUUAAUUACAUAUUUAGAUUAACUACUUAUCUUUUCUUAUAUUUUCAUUAGUUCAAAAUAAUUAGCUAAUAUUUUUAUAAUUUUUAUAUAAAUUUAAUAAAUAAAUAAUAACCAACUGAAACUACCUCUUACCCCACUACUACACCUACACCAUCCUAUUUUCCUCCCACUAUCCUAAUUGUUUACCCACUAUCUACCCACACACACAAUCAUUACCUGUAUUAACACAACAAUAAAUCAAAACUAAAAGAAUCAGCAACACCCAAACCCAACAAACGACAAUAAGGAAAAAAAGGGGAAAAAAAACUCCUAUACGACCAUCACACAAAAACACACAAACAAAAAAAAAGGACGAUCAACAAAAAAAAAAAAACAUAUACACGCAAAGCAACAGCAACACAUGGAAACAAAAAUACAAUACACACUAACACCAAAAACAAUAUUUAUGAGAGUUUUAAUCGAGUUUCGAUCAAGAUUUUGCGGUUCUUAUUUCUUCAUUUGUGGUACUUAACUUUACCUUAUCUCUUAAUUUAUUUAUGGAAAUUUAUGUAAUUAUGUGAUAAGUUUUUCUAUUUUAUUUAAAAUUUGAUUGAAAUGAAGAUUGGGUUAAAGUGUUAUAUCACCAUUUAAUGAAUGAAGUCCUAUAUAAUGUAAGAAUUUUAUUUUUUAUUCUUGUUGUUGUUGUUGUUGUUGUUGUUGUUGUUAUUGUUGUUUAAUUUUGUCAUGCCCAAGCCACUAUUUUUAUGACAUUGUUGUAGCUUAAUGUUCAUGUCAAUUGUCUAUUUUAAUUUACAUAUUUUUAAAUAAAUGUGAUUACCUAAUAAACAAACAAAUGGGUUAUGUUGUUAAACUUGAAUUUACUUCAUUUUGGAUUAGUUGAAUCCUUUGAUAUGAGGAUUAAUUUAUUUAAAAAUAGUAUCAAUUAAUAUAAUAAUGGGAUGAAAGAAUAGUUCUCUAAAAUUCACCAAAAUAAUAGUAAGUACUUUCAAUACUAGGUGAGUUUUAGGCACGUUAGAAAUAUGUGUUUCAAUUAAGAGACUUUUAUUCAUUGCCUAAGCAAUAUCAGUUGUUGGCUUUUGUAUUCACCUGCCACAUUCAUGAGUUAUUUUAGGGCUUUUGUAUUUAGCAAAUCAGAAUUACAUUGUUGAUAACAUGCACCUAAUUAACUGACAUAACAUUUCAAUUUUCAGUUAAAUGAGCUACAUAAAAAAGAUUUGGACUUACAAGUAUUUAUCUGUCAACUUUAUGAAAAAAGAGCCUUUUGAUUGUUUCAUUUGUCAUUUCUUAAUCACAUUAAAUUUUUUUAUAAUUGAUGGCCUUUUUCUAUUAUGUUCUAAGAAAUUGCUUGAGUUUUGUUUUCUAGAACUCUCGUCUUUUUUUUUCUCCAACAAAAUGGAUGAGGCUAUAAAUUCUAGUUAUAUGCAGUUUCUCCUUUAAUUCACGCAUGUUUGAUUCGAAUGUGAGAAUUCCUACAUAGAUUACAUUAUAUUUUAAUAGUUAAUAGUUUUCAUGAAUGAUAGAGUUUAUGUUGCCAUGUAGAGUAGUUUGUGAUGAUAUAUACUCCAUAAACUUUCACGUGUGUUAAACUUGUAAUGAUAAAAUUUAUAUUGUAAAUUAGAAAGUACUAAUAUAUAUAUNNNNNNNNNNNNNNNNNNNNNUAUGUGUUACCACAUUAUUGAUAUUUUAGAAAGAAUUUUUACUUAUAUGUCUUUGUAUAGGAGUAAUAUUUAGUAUAUUUUUGGUUUGAUUUUCUUGUCAUUGGACAUAUUUUACUUUUAUUUUAGGAGUUCGUAAUGAGAUAUUAUUAAUUUAGUAUAAUUUUAGUUAUUUUUAUUGUAUGAUCAUGGGUGAAUUUUAUGACAAAUAUUUUUGUCAUGAAUUAAAUUAAUUCAUCACAAGUUGAUUACAUUUAGUGACACAAAUGUAUUGUCCUAGUACCCCUUUUAUUGAAUAUGAUUUUAUUUUUAUUUUGUGACAAUUGUAAGUGUCACUACUUAUGAUAAUAUUUUGUGACAAUAUAUGUCGUCGAUAAAAGCAGCACUUUUAGUGACAAAAUGAUAUAUUUAAUCACAAAAUUAUUAACUUUUUUUAUUAUAUUAAAUUUAUCCCUAAUUUAUACAUUUAAGGACAAAAUAUUUUUUUGUAUAUAAAAAAAUAGUCAUUAGUGACGAUAUUGUAUUUUUCAACUACGAAAUACAUAUAGCUUUAGAGACAUUUGAUGUCGUCACUGAUUGAACAAAAUAAUUAGUGAUGAUUUAAUUUUGUCACUAAUAAUAAUAUUUUUAGUGACAAAACAUACUAUUAACUACAAAAAAGUUACACUUUUAUGACAAAAUAAAUUCGUCACAAAUGUUUAUGCAUUUGGGGACAAUUUUUAUUUUGUAGUUAAUUAUAAUAUUUUAGUGACGAAGCACUAAAUCGUCUUUGUAUACUUUUAGUGACGCACGUUUAGUGACGACUGACUGACGAAAUUUUUUUUCGUCACACAAGAGUUUUAGUGACGAAAUAUGAUUUAUAGAUGACGAAAUUGUACGAACUCUUCUUGCAUGUUCCAUCAAUGAAUCCUGAUUUUCGUUUGGCUCACAAUGCAAUCUUCAUUUCUCUGCUCCAAAUCGAGUAAUUCUCUGAUCCACUGAGAUGAACAGAGAUUAUUACAUUGCCAGGAUUAUCUGAUGGUAACAGACAUAGAGGAUGUCGAUGAUCUGUAACCUCCAAUUCCACCAUCGCUAAUCCUUAGAGAUUUUGAAAAAAAAAAAAUUGCAUGAAUUUGGGGAAAACUUUUGCAGAGACUUGAGCAACUUCACUACUCAACUCUUGAAGCUCCAAUCACCCUAACCGUAGCUCUGAUACCAUGAUAAAACCUCCAUUGAAGAAAUGAAGACUUUCUAGAUCAUUCUUAGAGCUUAACAGAGAGAGUAAAUAACUGCUUGUGUGUAUUGAUUAGAAUGAAUACAAAAUGAAUGUACAUUUAGUGUAUCUACUACUAUUUAUAGAAUGACUAACUAACUGAUUAGUCUAACUAACUACUACAUAAUAUGUUAUAACAGAAUUCUAGUAAUACAAUCACUAUUUCAUCCUUUCUCUACAACAAUCUCAACAAUUUUAUUGAGAUGCUCAAUUAUUUUAAUUUCCAACUAAUAGUCUUGACAAUAUGAAUAAAAAUAUGAUAUUCUUGAUGAUUAAUUUAGGUAUAUGAGUGUUUCUAGCUUUAUACCGAGAUACAAUUAAGUGCAUGAUGAACUAGUUUAGAACCAAUGCAUUAGUAACUAUAUGUUUGAAUACAUACGCAACCUUUUAAACUUGUAUGUAUUAGUAAUCACCCUUUAGCUAAAUGCAAGUAAAGGUAAUAUUUUAUUUUAUAAAAACCAUUCACCCAAGCUUUCAAUUUUUCAGGAUGAGAGUUUAGGCUGGAUCUAUACCUUAUGUAUUAUUUGAGUUAAUAUCUUAAAAUGUCAUUGAACUAUGAGAAAUUAUCUAAAAAAGUCUUUGAACUUUAUUUUGUGUCAAUAAAAUCACCCAACUUAAGACUUUUAUCUUCAAAAAUCACUCAACUAAAUUUAUCAUUAAAAUAAAUUUAACAUGAAAAAAUGAUUUUUUUUUCCUUAUGCCAUUUAAUCAUGGACCCACAAAAAAUAUUGUGACAUAUAAAUCUUUGAAAUAACCACAAAAAAUUACAAAAAUAAUAUCUAUACUUUGUUGUGAUUUUUCAUCUUCUACUUCUGAACCUCAACAACCUCUCCAGCAGUUUCAAUACUUACAACUUCACCAACACCUUGAGCAGCCAGACAUUAGUUCUAAUAGCUAUUACUGGUCCUUCAUUUGGUUCCUUACGAACAAAAAGAUAAGAAAUAAAGACCUUGGCAGAGAACAUUUUGAGAUUGUAUUACUUUUAAAGUAAAAUUAUUACCUGGGUUAUGGUUCACUGAUAUGCCAAAUUUAAUUUUGGUUAUUAUCGUUUUACGUAUCCGGGUGAUAAUCAGUCAUUUGAAGCCUCAUUAGUUGGAAAUAUAAUUUAUUUCUUCCUAUCAAAUUUAUUUUAAUGGUAAAUAUAGUUGAGUGAUUUUUGAAGAUAAAAACCUUAAGUUGAGUGAUUUUAUUGAUACAAAACAUAGUUUAAUGACUUUUCUAGCUAAUUUCUAACAAUUUAGUGACAUUUUAAGAUAUUAACUUUGUAUUAGUUAAACAAAAGAAUGAAAUAGAAGGAAUUAAACAUUACCUCUAGAUAUAAGAGGAUGCCAAGAAAGGAAAGUGACAACUUCAAUUUAAAGAUAGCUAAGAUAGACAAAAACAGGCUACCAUUUACAUUAAAUGGUGAGGUAUUCAGAGUUUGAUUACACGAUGUAUCCAUCUUUAUGUUCAACAACCUCUACUCUGUCAACUUCAUUACCAGUACCCGAUUUUGCUUCACCAACUUCCUAUGUUUCUGUCACGACCCAGACCGCCGUGAGUGGCACCCACACUAACCCUCCGGUGGGAGAACCAAAACUAAAGCCCAACUCAUAAAUUUUCUGAACACUAAGGCAUUUAAAGAUACAGAAGCAGGUUUAAAUAACUAUAAAAAAAGGAGUCCCUAUAAACUCCAAGGUUUUAACAAUUAACUAACCAAACUAAUGCGGAAAUUCAUCCCCUAAAACAUGAAAGUCAAUGUACCAAAACUUUACUAACGACAAAUCUAAGAACAAUGGGUACAACCCCGAAACUAAACAAACACCUUAAACAAAUAGUCUGAGUCAGAACAGAGUCGACUUAACAAAAGAGAUCCGUGGCAGCCCGAAAGAAAUGGCUCACCCUUGAAUCCGAUCACACACAAUAGUCACCUAGCUGAGGUCUAUCAAUAGCCUCCUGAAGAGGCCCUGUACUCAACAAAGAACAAGCAAGUUCAGUAUCAGUACACAACCACAGUGUACUGGUAGGAUCACGCGGCUAUCCCAAUAAGUGUAACAUACAUUAGUCAAUACAACAAUAUAAUCACAUGCACAUAAUGAACAUAUACAAUAUCAUCAACAUAUACGAACAAUGAACAACUUCACAAUUCUCACAUAUCACAGUUAUAUCAAUUUAGAGCAACAUACUGUCUUCCAAUAUCAAUCGUCAUUAGAUAUGAACGAAAUCAUCACAAGUAGAUACACAACACAAUUAAAUGGUCCUCUCACGGAACCCAAUUCAAUGGUCAUCUCAUGGAACCCUCACCCAAACAGUUAGUAUACCGGAACGUGGUACCCGAUCCAAUGAUUAUGCCGAAACGUGACAAUCGAUCCCAUAAUUAUGCCGGAACGUGGCAACCUAUCCAAGUUAGUUAUGCCGGAAUGUGGCAACCGAUCCAAGUUAGUUAUGCCGGAACGUGUCAGCCGAUCCAUUCAACAUGCCACAAUCACAAUCACAAGUAUAUCCUCAAGAUCAUACAUUUAAGUCAUGAUUUCAUGGUAACCAUCAUUCAUCUAUCUCAUUUACAACAAGUGUGAUCAAUAAUGCAACAUUCAUAUACAUACAUGUAUCAUAAUGAAGUAAGAACAAACAUACAUCACAGAAUUACAGAAUCACAACUAUCACAUAGCUCGAAUCCAAGCUUGAAUCCCCUAAGGCACUUGAAUCUUCCCUUUUCGGAUUCUUCCCGCUUGUUUGUGGUCUAAAAACAUACAAAUAACGCAAGGAUCAACAAACGAGGCCUAAUUACCCGGAUUAUAAUCAAUAAAUAUCAAUCCUAGGUGAAACGCUUGGUCCCCAUACCCAGAUUAGGGAUGUUUCCACCAUAGAAUCUAUAACAAAACCCUACCCCAUAAACAUUCACCCAUUCUAUUACGUUCUACGGAUCGAAAAAUGAAUUUGGGGAGUGAAAAACUUACAUUUAGCCUCAAGAAUGGUGAAAAAUGAGUAGGAGUCGCUAGGGGUUCGUUCCUUAGCUCUAAAAAUCGAAAAGUGCUAAUUAAGGUAGUUUAAGGGUUUAUUUACGACUUUAAGUCUCGUCGAACCCGCUACGGCGGGACCCAACCUGCCACAGCGACCCCGCCAUGGCGGCACUAUCCCGCUCUGGCGGCUUGCACAGAAACAAUGAGCAAAUUUAAGAAUUCCAACUCCCAUUUCACAACACACAUUCAUCCCAUGACACUCAGAAAAUACAUGAUCAUACUAAGAUCAGUUUCGGGAGUUCUACUCACCCGAAUUCAAUUCUGUAAAGUCGUACGGGUUCCUUAACGUCUUAGCUAUCCACUCAUGUAAUCAAAUUCAUUAAUAGAUCUCUCAUUGGUUACCAGAUUUCCCUAGACCUCACUGACUCCGAUUUCGUCCAAAUCUGGACUAGGCUAGGAAAUCUCAAGUUACUACGAAAAAGUUUUCUGACCCCAGUUCUUUCUCCAUUGGCUUUUCCAUAACGAUGAAAAUCAGGUCAAUAGAUACCAAUUUACCCAUCAUUUGUCCCCGAGUGACAAACUAGGAGAAAAGGGCUAAAACAAGAAUAUAGUAGUAAUUGAAUCGUCAAAUAACUAGGGAUACUUGUCCCACAUACUUUUUUCUGUCGACUCUGGGCUGCUAGAAGCUUAGAUUGGAUACUUCUCACCUUACCCUAAACAUCUUUCACCAAAUCAACUCUCAAAGGUUUCACGUUUUCAACCUCAAACCAACCAAUUGAACACCUACACAUGCUCCCAUACAAUGCCUCAAUGAAGUCAUCUUAAUACUCGAGUGAUAAAUAUUGUUGUAUGCAAACUUAACUACAACAAAAGUGAUUCCCAACAACCACCAAAGUUGAUUGUACACACGUCUACAACAUGUUAUUAAGGACCUUGACACAAUCAUCCGGACGAAUCUUUUAACACUUAAGCAGAUAAAAUUCCAAGUCAAUACUCGCUACAAAUAGAAGUGAACCUAAAUCAACCAACACACACUCACAAUACCCAAACAAUCAUAGUUGUUAACAAUAUCUCCAUCCCACAACAUAAAUUCCCAUGAGCUUAAGUUAUAACCAAUUUGAUCUUUAGAAAUCAGGUACUCAUCAAGGGAUAUGUCCAAGCAUACAACCCCUCCAACAACACUAUCGAAAUGCUAGAUUUAGUAAUUAUAGAUUACCUCUUAAUAACAGUAGAAUUGGACCUAAUGAUCCCCACAUUCAACCACACAUAACCGGUACAUGACCUCGACGACUAGAGGAAUAUUAAGAUUGUCGGACAAUCACAAAUACGCAUGGCAGCUCUUCUAUAAAUUCUCAUAACCAAGGUGGUACAUGUAGAACCACAAAAUAUUUUUAACAACUCCAAGACAACAUCAAUUAUUUCAUUCGAAAUAACCAAAUCUUCCCAAUAUUCCCACUCAACCAAGAGAAUAUUGCAGGAUUUGGUACCCCCGAUCCACUACCAGGGAUCCACCCACAAAAGUGAAAACACACGAGAGCAUAGCUAGUGAAUCAUACUCACAAUACUAACAACCAUCAUAACACUCUGACCAUUUACCUUAUUAUAACUCAACACUUUUUAAAUGAAACAUUUCUUAGAUACUUAACAAUCAAUAAUAAUAAACUUUACCACUCAAUCCAGGUGUAAGUCCUUUCAAAUACUCAAUACCGGAUACAAUUGAUCAUUUCUCACCUUGCCAAUUCAUACUUUGAUAAAAUACAUCACUACGAAUGUAGACUCAAUAAAGGGAGACUCAACCUCAACACCCCGAGCAUGAUCCAAAUAAGCCAAACAACCCAGUCUUACCAGUUUCUUAGCCCGAAUGGAGGAUAUGAUCUUAGCUAGCUUAGGCUUGUACACCCCUUCCCAAUAUAAUCUUUCCCUACCGGGGAUCUCUAUAGUUACCGACUUAGUAUUACAAUUAAGCCUGGUAUAAUAGGGGGACAACCAAUUCAUGCCUAAGAUUAUAUCAAGUCAGUCAUAUCCAGCAUAACCAAAUCAACCCAAAUCUGAAAAUCCAUAACCACAACAGGACAACACGAUACACAUAGGUGACUAUGAAUGACUCUUCAACUGGGGUAGUAACAUGGAUGGGGGCAUCAAGUAUACACAAACCACAUCAAAUCCCAAGGCAAUUAAACUGACACAUAUGAAUAAGUAGAACCCUGAUCAAACAAAACAAUAGCCAUCCGGGCACAGACAAGAGUAGCACUCGUGACCACUGCAUCACACCCUCAAACUCGGUCUAACCCGGAAAAACAUAAAACUGAGUCAUGUCAUCUUGACUAGCAACCUCAUUGCCUAGAUGCACAACUCAUCUACCUGCAUUACCAUUUUCCCAGCCUCCACAGCCUCGUUGAUUUCCUCCUCAUAUGCCCAGGUUCUCCACAAUUUUAACACAUUUUAUGACUUAUAUUCUUAGAUCGUCGGGGUUAGUUCAGGUACGAUUCGGGGGCCAUAAUUGUGACUAGGGGAAAACAUGGGAGAUUGGGCUAAGAUUCUAUCUCUCUUUGUCCCGCUUUGGCGGGAGAAAUCCCGCACUGGCGGUGUCACCUUGGCGGGAAAAUCCCCCCCAGCGGCUAUAAUGAAAACAGAAUCCCUGCCAACAAUUUUUCUGGGUUUCUUUUCUUUCCCAAUUUCCCCCAAAGGUUCCCAACUAUAACACAGACAUUUUUAGAGUACUCAAUCCCCUUAGCUAAGAUAAUCGUUGCCUACCCCGAGUCAACCCAACGAUACACACUCCAAAAUCCCUUUACGUUACUUCAACACUACAACAUCCUCGUCCCCAUGAUAUACCCAGACUCUCACACGGUUUUCAGUUGGUCGCAACGCAUGUCCAAAUUUCUCGUUUACGAACCACAUCGUAAUUUAUCUAGACCCUUGCACCUAAUCUCGUGAUGACUUUCUUUUCACAACAAGUUUCACGACACUCAAGCAGUUACAACUUGCAGACAAGUCCAAAUUCCUUAAUUAGCUCAUUCCAUAGAUGACCAUUACUGAUCAUCUAUGCCUUAUAUGACCCCUAAGGCAAGAUACCAAUUGCAACCUUCUCAAUUCUAAUUAACUUGCUUGUGUCACUUUAGCCGGGACUACGGCGUCUAGUUCACUUCGUUGAGAUACCAAUUGGAAUCGGGAGAUACCAAUUGGAUUCAACUCAUACCACAAGCGACAAUAGUAGCUAGCUAGCCCCACAAAACUACUAAUUUCAAUCAUAGAACUUGGUCGAACCAAAUUCUUAACCGCCUCAACCUUUAACUGAUGGUAACCAUACCUUAAAUCAAUCUUAGAGAAAACCGAUGCACCUUGCAAUUGAUUAAAAAGGUCAUCUAUCCUAGGCAAUAGAUAGUUGUUCUGAAUGGUGACCAUAUUCAACUGUCGGUAGUCUAUACACAUCCUCUCUUACUGGUGAUGGUGUUACCGUUGUUGUUGCUCUAGCUCGAACCAUGGAGUGAAGGAGGAAAGAUAUGAAUUUGUAUCACCCAAAUACCAAUUAGAUUCAAGUCAUAGCACGAAGGAGUAGAAAGAAGUGAGUUUUUUCCUAAAGUCCUAUAGUCUCUCGAAGAAAAGUACGGACGUUAUCGUACCGUUCCGCAAGACUCUACUAGACUCGUUUUGGUACAAUGAGAUCAACGAACCUAGGGUUCUGAUACCAACUUUGUCACAACCCAGACCGUCGUAAGUGGCACCCACACUAACCCUCCGAUAGGAGAACCAAAACUAUAGCUCAACUCAUAAUUUUUAUGAACACUAAGGCAUUUAAAGAUACGGAAGCAGGUUUAAAUGACUAUAAAAAUGGAGUUCCCAUAAACUCCAAGGUUUUAACAAUUAACUAACCAAACUAAUGAGGAAAUUCAACCCCUAGAAACCUAAAAGUCAAUGUACCAAAACUCUACUAACGACAAGUCUAAGAACAAGGGGUACAACCCUGAAACUAAACAAGCACCUUAAACAAAUAGUCUGAGUCCGAACAGAGUGGACUUAAACAAGAAAGAUCCAUGGCAGCCCGAAAGUAAUGGCUCACCUUUGAAUCUGAUCACGCUCAAUAGUCACCUAGCUGAGGUCUAUCAAUAGUCGUCUGAAGAGGCCAUGUACUCAACAAAUAAAAAGCAAGUGCAGUAUCAGUACACAACCACAGUGUAUUGUAGGAUCACGCGGCUAUCCUAAUAAGUGUAACAUACAUUAGUCAAUACAACAAUAUAAUCACAUGCACAUAUCGAACAUAUACAAUAUCAUCAACAUAUACGAACAAUGAACAACUUCACGACUCUCACAUAUCACAGUUAUAUCAAUUUAGAGAAACAUACGGUCUUCCAAUAUCAAUCGUCAUUAGAUAUGAACGAAAUCAUCACAAGUAGAUACACAACACAAUUAAAUGGUCCUCUCACGGAACACAAUUCAAUGGUCAUCUCAUGGAACCCUCACCCAAACAGUUAGCAUACCGGAAUGUGGUACCCGAUCCAAUGAUUAUGCCGGAACAUGGCAAUCGAUCCCAUAAUUAUGCUGAAAUGUGGCAAUCGAUCCAAGUUAGUUAUGCCGGAACAUGGCAACCGAUCCAAGUUAGUUAUGCUGGAAAGUGACAGCCGAUCCAUUCAACACGCCACAAUCACAAUCACAAGUAUAUCCUCAAGAUCAUACAUUUAAGUCAUGAUUUCAUGGUAACCAUCAUUCAUCUAUCUCAUUUACAACAAGUGUGAUCAAUAAUGCAACAUUCAUAUACAUACAUGUAUCAUAAAUGAAAGCAAAAAACAAACAUACAUCACACAAUCAUAGAAUCACAAUCAUCACGUACCUCGAAUCCAAGCUUGAAUCCCCUAAGGCACUUGAAUCUUCCCUUUUCGGAUUCUUCCCGCUUGUUCAUGGUCUAAAAACAUACAAAUAACGCUAUGAUCAACAAACGAGGCCUAAUUACCCGGAUUAUAAUCAAUAAAUAUCAAUCCUAGGUCAAACCCUUGGUCCCCAUACCCAGAUUAGGGUUGUUUCCACCAUAGAAUCUAUAACAAAACCCUCCCCCAUCAACAUUCACCCAUUCUAUUAUGUUCUACGGAUCGAAAAAAUAGAUUCGGGGAGUGCAGAGCUUACAUUUAGCCUCAAGAAUAGUGAAAAACAGAGUAGGAGUCGCUUGGGGUUCGUUCUUUAGCUCUAAAAAUCUAAAAGUGCAAAUUAAGGUCGUUUAAGGGUUUAUUUACGACUUUAAGUCGUGUCAAACCUGCUACGGCGGGACCCAACCCACCACAGCGGCCCUGCCCUGGCGGCACUAUCCCGCUCUGGCAGCUUGCACGGAAACAGUGAGCAAAUUUAAGAAUUCCAACUCCCAUUUCACAGUACACCUUCAUCCCAUGACACUCAGAAAAUACCCGAUCACGCUAAGAUCAGUUUCGGGAGUUCUACUCACCCGAAUUCAAUUUCGUAAAGUCGUACGGGUUCUUUAAUGUCUUAGUUAUCCACUCAUGUAAUCAAAUUCAUUAAUAGAUCUCUCAUUUGUUACCAAAUUUCCCUAGACCUCACUGACUCCGAUUUCGUCCAAAUCUAGACUAGGCUAGGAAAUCUCAAGUUACUACGAAAAAGUUUUCUGACCCCAAUUCUUUCCCCAUUGGCUUUACCAUAACGACGGAAAUUAGGUCGUUACAGUUUCAAGAUCAUCUUAGGGUUGAUUCACCUACAGUGUUUUCUUGCCUCCAUCUGUGUUCAACAGCCUCUACUCUGUCAACUCCAUUACUAGGAACCGAUCAUAUCACAAUGAACGAUCAGAGAAUAUUAAAAGUUCCACAUUUUGUCCAGUAAAUUUAAUAAAAUUAUCACUAAAAGUCAUAUUUUUAAUAACAAUUGAUUUGCGACAACUAUAAUGCACCACAAUAAAUAUCUUAAUUUCCUUUUAGCAUUCAUUGUUGUGGUCAGUAAAUUUAAAUAAUUUUCUCUAGAAGGCCACAAGAUUUAACAGGUAUGGUUUACACACCAACGAAAAUGGCUACAAUAUUUUUUUUUUAGAAAAAUGAUCUAAUUUGCUAAUAAAUUUAAUUAAAAUGUUAGUAUAAGGGAGCCGUUUAGUGGCAGCAAAAUUUAGAAAAUGCUCGUUAUAUAUAUAUAUAUAUAUCUUUAGCUCUAACAAACAAAAGAAAGUAUUAAUCCAAAAUACUACUAUAACAACUUUAAAAAACUAACACAAAUAAUAUUCUUCAAAUAAUUUUUGCAACUCUUCAUCAUAUUGAAGUCUCUCAAAUUGCUAAAUUUUUUUAAUUUUAGGUAAUUUCCUACUAAAGCAUCGUAGUCCCUCAAUAAAAAGAUUUUAACUACUAAACUAAAUACUGAUAGAUACUAUACACUACAUCAAAAAUGAUCAUUAGCGAUAAUCAAUUCUUAAUUGCCGCAAAAUAUCUAUUUUUAGCGGCAAUUAGCACUCUUUGCAUAUGUCCCUAAAUCCUUUAGCGACAUUGGUUCUAAUGGCACUUAACUAAUGUCAGUAAAGACUUUAGCACUCUUUAUUAAUGUCCAUAUUUAUUGCCGCUAAAAGUUGUUUUUGUUGUAGUGUAUAUUCUGUAUCUACCGAUGGAUACAUAUCGCGAUAUCGUCAGUUAAGUCUUGAUAAAAAAAGUAACAAAUACUUUCGAUGCAUGAAAAAUUACUAUUGUCGUUUCAAAAGUAGGAAGUGCAUUAUUAUAAUUACCGGGAUGUAUAAAUGUUCUAAAACAAUUAAUAAUUUAAAAAUAUGAAUGGAGUCUCUCGAUAUCUCUAAAUACACCGGAAUUAAAUUUCUCUGACUACGGAAAAGACAGUUAUCCUUUUGUUAAAUGAUUUGAAUAUCGAUUUAAUAACUUUAUAUGUUAACUUAUUAGAGUAAUACUAACUGUAUAUAAAAUCUAAUAAAAACUCAAAAAGUAAGGGUGCAAAACUACAAACAUAUAAAUGUACAAUAAUUCCAACAACUUAAAUCUGAAAUAUGUGAUAUUCAUGAAAAACUCUAGAAAAAUUAAAUGAGUUGUCAAACAUAUGUUAUAUAAUUAGUUAUUUUUGAAAUUUCCUCAAAAAUAGUAUUUCUCAGCAAGUGGUCCUAAUAGAUUCCUUUGUUUGUAACCUAUGAGGAAAUUAAGUGGACAGUCAGAUUUUGUACGGAGAGUUGUUAUGGACAAAUUUGAUUGCUCUAUUGUAACUCUACGGCCUCACUGCUAAGAUAUUAUUCCUUUGAUAUUAUAUUGUUCAAUCAUUUUUAUUUAUUCAUUAUACAUAGCAUGACUCUUAAAAGAUAAUAAUAAUGAUUGAUAUAAGGCUUGUACCAAAAAGCUCAUAUUAAUUAGUAAUAUUUAGUAUUAUGCUUUGAAUAAUAAUUUUAAAAAAAUAAUUAAUAUGUCAAAUGUGACCAGUAGAAAUUAUAGUUUUGAAAUAUUAGAUAGAUUCCACCAUUCUACAUUAAAUCUUGUUUUAUUGUUCACGUGGCAUGUUUUAUUUUCUAGAGUUUUGUAUAUCACCAUAUGAAUUUAGCAAAAGAAAGGGACGUAAAUAUUUUGCAAUAAUAAAUCGUUUCAUUAAGAAUAAAAAGAUUACACAUAAAUUAAAACAGAGGGAGUAGGUUAGAUAUUCUAACAAACAUUAAUGAUUUAAUUUAACCAUCGAGCAAUUCAAUAGCCACACUUUGGAUGGAGAUCACAUCUCCACCCGUUUUAGGAACCACAGUUACCGUAAUGGUAUCGUCAUCUUCCAGCUCAAUGUCCUCUAACAGUUCAGUAAUGCCUAGCUGAAACAUCUCAUCAGAAUCCAUUUUCUUAUUAUGUGCAUGAACGUGAGGCAAGUUGACAUAGCUCCCCGCGAACUCCACCUUAUCAAGCUCAUCCGUAUUCACAUCCUCAUCCUCGUUCAGGAACACAUCAAAUCUUAUAUAUUUGUUAGUAUCAUACUUUAAACCCUUGAAUAUUAGCACCUCUUCUUUUUCGUCUUUAUCCUUUUGACUCCUUGACGUAGUUGGCCUAUUGAUGGAAAACGAAAAUGGGUUUGUUGAGGUUAGCAAUUGGGAAUACUUUGUUUGCUGGCUUGAUGUUUGUUACAUCCACUUUUCCUUCUCUGCCUUUUCUUGUUGGCCUACAGUUAACCCACGGGAUGGCUGCUGGCGCGUAAUCAUAACCCAUCUUCUUCGUAUCCAAACAGUCUCCUACCCUCACACGGUAAGGGUUUUUGUUUUCAUCGUAGAAAAAGAAUUCAGAGUUCAACCAAUCUGGAUCUAUGAUAUCCCUUCUUUUCCCGCCUAAUCCUUUCCAUACUUUCCACAUUCGGUCCACAUUGGCAUGGUGGCAAUAGAAAAUCGGGUCUAAAGCGGCUGAGUAGAAAUUACCCAUAUCUUCACCUAAUGACAGUUUACCACCACCCAAAUCUGUAUUUCUAACAGUACCAGCCCAAAUGUGGACCGGAGUAUGAGGGAUGUUUUCAAUAGUUCCCUGACCUUUGGAAUCGUUAUUCCCAAGGACGUAACGAGCACCAAAGAAUUGCAAAGGGCAUGCAGCAUUAGUUAUCAUUGAACGGUACAUUAAAGUUAAGUUGUUAGUCACCGUUUGUCCAACAUCAGUAAUAACUUCGUCUCUAGGAGAACUAAAAUCGAUUAUGGUUCCAUUACGGACAUGUGGAUUACGUCUUGCAUCAUAAAGGGGAGUAGUUUCACGAUCGAACAUGGGAGGUAAACGCAUACCUUUUGGAUGGUCCCAAUUCCAAUAUGGUAAAGCGAAAGUUGGAUCAUCAAUGAGUUUUCCCAAUAUUCUCUCGUAGAAAAGGUAAACGCAUACCUUUUGGAUGGUCCCAAUUCCAAUAAGGUAAAGCGAAAGUUGGAUCAUCAAUGAGUUUUCCCAAUAUUCUGUCGUAGAAAAAUAAGUACCAUCUAUGGAACGGGAAGAAAAGCCAUGAUUGAUGAACUUGUAAAAUUUCAUCACCGAAUUUGUAAGCACCAUUGCAAUAAGCACAAUGGAUGUUGGCUUGUUGCAUGAAUGAACGAGGAUCGUCUUUGUCUAGUUCCUUCAUUCUUUUAGUUUCCAAUUGGUACUUUGCUAUAUAUUCCUUAGUCACGUCUUGAGCAACAGGACGUUUACGGAGCUUAGACAUGGGAGGAAGAUUGUAAUAUGGAAUGUUGUUCAAGUCCUUUGGUGUAGGAGGGCAACAACUAUAUUCUACUAGAUCUUUACUCCCCGUUUUCGUGGCUUUACUACAUGAUUUCAGAUCAGGCGGCGGUAUAGGAGAAGCAAAGGCUAAUGGUGCAAGAUUGGAAGCACUAUAGAGCCCUCCUAAACCAAGAAGCACAUUUCUCCUAUCGAUAUUUGCUUUAAUAUUUUGGUCGUGCUCAUUAGCAUUGCAUGAGACGUGGAAAAUUUGACUACGCCUUCUCUUCAACAAACGCGGAGAAUAAGGUUUUGCAAACAAUGAUGAGAGUGUUGUAGUAGUGAGAGUUUUGCUACUCUGGUCAUCAAGACUUAAACAGAUAGAAUUAAUGGAAGAUGAAGAAGCCAUUAGAUUGAGUGAUUGUUGUGAUUCGUAUCAUCUUAUAAAUAAAAGUGAGUAAAAUAAUCAUAAAGUUACAUAAAAACAAAAAAACAAAAGCUAUUGCAUUUCUAACCUUACAUGUCCACAUGAAGGAGUAGAUUAGGUAACCACUAAAGAACAAAAAUAUAAACAGAUAUUUAGAUAGAAUCUAUUUAUAUUAUGUACGGAUGUAAUAAGAAAUAGUCAUCUACUCGGCAAGUUUGAGAUAUUCAAUAUAAAAUCUAUCUAUAUUGUGUACGGGUGAUUUUUAAAAAAAGUAUAGAGUACACAAACCUCAAUAAUUUGAGAAUUACAUUCUAAUUUAUAUAUUUUUUGUAUAAUAUAAUUUAUAUAACUGUUAAAAGUUCAAAUGUUUGUGUUUGUAUAAAUUCGUUAUUUUGAGUUUAUACAAAACAAAUAAAAAAAUAACUCAAUUAUACAAACAUACCAGCGAAUUAUACAAACGAGGCAGGUUAAACUGUGUAACUACAACGCGUAAAUAUGCAAACUAUAGCUAUGGAGCAUAAUUAAGUUUAUUAUAGUGACAAUUUGCUAAAAUUCCUCUUUUAUUAUUCAUUCUAGUUGAAGUUGAAGUUUAGCCACAUGUAAUAUAAAAUUCAUGAUUUGAAAUCAAAUUGAUUUGAAGUUAAAGUUUUGUUUAGAUAUGCAAUUUAAAUAUUUUGAGUUGUAAUUUGUCCCAUAAACAUGAAAACACUACUAAAAAUUGAGUCAAAUUCAAGAAUCUGGUUUUCAAAAAUAUUCAUUAAAAAUGCAACUCCUUGAAAUUGAACUCAAUACUUUCUGACUUUAGACAAUUCUACACAUAACCACACAUACUCUUUUUAAUAAAAUAUUUUCAUCAUUUUUAUUUAUACUCUUUAACUGUAAUUUGACACUUUAAAAAUCGACCUUAUCCGUCAAUUUGUGUAAACAAUAAACAUAUAAUAAAAAUCAAGGGAUUGUGUUUGUUUUCUUUAAACCUUGCAAUAUAUGUGGAGAAACUUGAAAAGUGAUUGGAUGCAAUAUUCAAGGCUCAAGGUGGGAAAACAUUAAUAAAAGUAUAAAACGACGUAAAGGUGACAGAGAAGAUAAAAUUGACAUUUUAGAGAUAUUUUGGGUGAAGGCCAAAAAUAUCGUAAACUAUUUGAAAUAUGUUAAUUUUUCUUUUUAUUACGUUUUGGUUCAAAAUAUCUUCUUCAAUCUUCAUUAUGAUUUUAGCUUGAAAAAUGUCAUUCAACUAGCUAAAAAAUAUCCUGUCUACUGACGGUUGUUAAAUAUUAUGAUAUUUAUAAUUUAACAAUAACAAUUAUUUUUCAAUUAUAUGAAAGUAAUUAUUUGUGAAUUUUAUAUGAGGUCCAAUAUAAUAGCCAAGAAUUCAAAGUGUAUUUCCUUAGUAUCUACUGAUAUUUUUUCUACUUUAAUUUUCAUAUGGUGUCCGGUACUUAUAUUGAAGUUCAAUAGAUAUUUAACUUUGUCUUAUUUUUUAAAAUUAUGCAAAAAUUACUUAUUUUGUUUUAUAGGUUAGUCAAAGAACCUUUUAUAACAACUCCGCUUUUGUUUUGUAGGUUAGUCAAAGAACCUUUGAUAGUUUUUAUUUCGAAAACAUUUAGAAAAAAUAAUAAUAAUUAAAUUCUUAAGUUGACAUUAUUUUACCUUUCACAAGAAAAGUGUGAAUUAUCGGAGGAUAUUUUUAGAGGGGUUAUACAAGGAAAUUUAUCGGUAAUUUAGUUUCUUGUGAAUUUUCUAAGAAUUUUUCAAAGCCCUAAAUAAAUUAAUUCGAUGAUAUUGAUUUUUCCUUUCAUGAAUAAUAUUACUUUCUCUAUCCAACCAUACUUGUCCACUAUAUUAUUUUGGGAUGUCAACAAUACUUGUCCACUUUAUAAAAUUAAUGGAUAAUUUUACACUUAGUUCUUAAAUCAAUGGGUAAUAUUUUUCCACAAUAGUAUCAAUGUCUGAAAAACUCUUGGAUCACAUUUUACUCGAUUAUAUUCUUAAUUAAAAUUAUAAGUAUAUAAUUCUAGUUUUUUGCUUCAACACUCCGUUGUUUAUAUUUAUAUAUUUCAUUGAAAUAAGACCGAUACAACGUCAAAAACAAUAUGCCACUGCUCAGUUUGAUCCAAUCUUGAAUUAAGGAAAAUUACAGUUCAAUGCCUUGGCACAUCUAAUUUACAAAAUAUGUACACAGUAUCUAAGUAUUAUAAACAUUAUACUAAUAAAUAUGCAUAUACACAUGUGAAUUCUGGAUGAUUCUUCGAAUUUGUAUUUGAUCCUAAAUUAUUGCAAUGAUUCACUAUACUAAAAGAGAUAUUUAAUUUCGUGCAAUAAAUUUUCAGUUAAGCGAUAAUAUUUGUUGUCACAGAUAUAUUCAAAGUCGCUAAAGUCUUUCACAAAAUUUAAAUAGAGUGUAAGUUAUAAAUAUUCAUAUUUAUCAUUGCAUUGCCAUUAAAUAAAAUACAUUCACAACUAAUGAGUAUCUAAUUGUAAAAGUAUUUUUCUCUUAAUUCUUAAAUAUAUGUAUAUAUAAAAAGUUUGCGAUUAAUAUAUGUAACUGUUCCUAAAAUGAUUUAUCUGUUCAAAAUCAUUGAAAAUUCUUAAUAUCAUGCCUAGAUUAAUAAUUUAUGAUUAAUAUAAGGAUCACAGGAAACCAGGAAUUGGAUUUGUCUCAACCCUUGCCUUGAGAGAGAAAAGCUUUUUAGAAAGUGAACUCAUAUUCAGGCAAAAAUUGUGGUUAUUAAAAUAUGAAAAUGUGAACUUAUGUCCGAAAAAAAUUAUUUAUUAUGAGGGAUAAAAAUUAAAGGGAAAAUUGUACGAAAGAGCAAAUUUUUAAUUCAAAUUAAAUGUUAUAGUCAUAGUUUCUUUUAUUUGUAAUUCGCAGCAAACAUUCCAUGUUUUUUGUCAUCCCAUUUGUAUAUCGAAAUAUAAAAAUAGACCAAAAUAUACAAAUGCAGGACCCAUUUGUAUAUCGAAAUAUACAAAUGCAUGACCCAUUUGUAUACCGAAAUAUACAAAUACAUGACCCAUUUGUGUACCGAAAUAUACAAAUGCAGGACCCAUUUGUAUACCAAAAUAUACAAAUGUAGGACACAAUUUGUAUACCGAAAUAUACAAAUAGACCCAAAUACAUAUUUUUUAUGUAUAUGUAUACCGAAAUAUACAGAUUAAUAGCCAUAGCAAACUUUAUGUAUGUUAUGGAGCGCAAUUAUAUAAAUUAUACCUAUAGCAUACAAAUAUGAUUUUUAUGUUUGCUAAACCUAAAAUUUACUCAAAAUUAAAUACCGGCAAAAUAUAUGGUCAAAAGUUCAAGUGACUCAUGAAUAAGAGAACAACCAGACUUUGAUUUGGGCCAAGUCUUGGAAAAGACAGGCAAUAACAUGUAUCUGGCCCAAACUUAAACUAGCCCACCAACAAAUCAGUCAGCCCAAUCCCUAUGUGAUUUUUACAUCGUAAAACAAUUGUAGGACUUAUAUAUAAAAGAUCGUAAAAAUUACAUCAAUCUCACAAUGUUAAAAUCUAAUUACAUCAUAUUCCUAUUCUAUUUCAAAUUACAAAAUCCUUUAAAAUUAUAGAAUCUCGGAUACAUUAAAAAACUUGCGGAUACAUAGUUCACGAAUGUAUCCGAGAGGAGAUAGAGAUGUAUGCGAGAGAGAAUAAGGAUGUAUCCGAAAGGAGAUUUUUGUAAAAAAUUUAAAUGAUAGGAAAUUUUAAAGAUUAUGAUAUCUCAAGUUGUGUAUUAAUGUAUUUUUUAAAAUAUUACAUGAAUGUAAAACUUAUGAGUUAUGUUUUACUAUAGAAGAUGUAUAGUAAAUUAUUUGUAAAACUUAUACUCUUGAAUUAACCAAGUAAAAUAUACAUUAAAAAAAUCUAAACUUAUGAGUUAUGUUUAAAUUAUUUUUUAAGAAACUGAAAUCACAAACUUGUACUAAUUGAAAUCUUACCUUUUAAUAAGAUUUACAUCCAAAAACUUCAAAUUAGUUGGUCAAAUACCUAGCUAACAAGCUAAUCAAAAAAUCACUUUUUCAAAUUUGAAUCUUAUCUUUAUGGAAGAAAGUCAAAAUUCCAAGAAUCAAUUCAACAUAUUUUUUAAGAAAUUUUUGAAAAAGUGGAAAAUUCAUACUAACAAACAUAGCAAAGACAACAAUUGUUUGAAAUGUCAGCAAAAGAGUUUUGCUUUAUGCAUGCGUAAAAUUAUCACGUGAACAUCGCCGCAGAGAUUCCUACGCUUGAGAAAAGCUAUUCAAAUAGUGAAUACAUAGGCAUAGUACAAUAUGAUACGAAAUCGAUAUUAAAAAUUUCGAUUGGAUAACAGGAUUUUUUAAAUUUUUAAAAGAUAUUAUUAUAUUAUUGUUAUACGAAAAUUAAUCUAAUAUGAUUUGAUAGCCUAAAGUUUGAUUUUGAUUUUUUACGAUUGAUAAAAUGAUAAUUACAAUAUGAUCAGUAACUUAUACAUUUUCAUACAAUAAAGAAUGACUUCAAUUAUUUAAAAGACGUUUCAAUUAUAUCCUACAUACAUUGCCCGUUUGGCCAUGCGUUAUGAUACCAUGAUAUGGAAUCAUGAUAUGAUAUCAUAAUAUGGAAUUAUGAAAUGAAAUUGAAAUUUUGUUUGGACAUGCAAUAUGAAUUUUUUAUGUUGUAUAUUUUAUCAUAAACAUAAGAAUCUCAUAAGUUGUAAAACUAUUAAAAUAACGUCAAUUGUUUAUUCUAUCUUACCAAAUAAGUAAAAAUUUAUAAAAUCGCCUAAUAAAUUAUUACAAAGUUAUUUGUUCUCCACUUUAAGUAACUGUUUCAUUUAACUUUAAUUCAAUAAAAAAAUUGAACAUAAAUUGUAGUGUACAAGUCUUUAAUAUAAUACUCUCACAUAGUACGGACAAUUUCCUCACGUUGAACUUGCAUUUCUCGAUCAUGUGAUCGAGAAGACGAACCAACAUUGUUACUUUGUGUUGUAUUAAAUACAGAAUGAUAGAAGUAAUAAAUUAGGUGUUGGAGUAAAUGAAGAUAACAAAUUUAUUACUCAACAAUCGGUUGGUGUGAGUUAAAGUAACUAUAUGUUGGUGAGAAUAAAAAUUUUUAAAAAGUAAUGAUGUGAUUAUAAAUUUCAUUUACAUAUGAAAUAAAUGGUUAAUAUAUAUAAAUGUGGGAUUGUUUUAACAAAAUAUAAACUUGUUGAUCAAUUUUUGUAUUAAAAAUAUCUCAAAUCAUGAUAUGGAAUUCUCAUAUCAUGGUUUUUGAAGAAUAUGGAAUCACAUCUCAUGAUAUGGAAUCAUGAGAUGGAAUCAACGUAAAAUCGCAUGUCCAAACGCUGAUCAUAUCUCACGAUUUCAUAUCGUGAUAUGGUAUCGCAUGGCCAAACACCUACUAUGGAGAUGUUUUCCAAAAAAGUACAAGCAAUUUACUUCUUUGAUCAACCACCAAAAACAAUAUUUCAAUCAAGAUAAAAUAGUUGAAGUUACACCAUCUAAAUAAUUAAUUUUAAUACUUUGAUAUAGUGGUAUUUACGGUAAAAAAAAAUUAUAAUAUAAAAUUUUAAUUUCAAUAAAAUAUUAUAUAUGCGUUUAAAAGGGGGUUUCGUCGUGGCUAUGACGUGAGAUAAGAACAAAAAUGAAAUAAAUAUAUAUAAGGAAAAAUUCUUUUAGCCAGAAUUUGGUCAGAAUGGUAUUUUAUCUAUGUUAUUUUAUUUUUUAAACACUUUUACCCUUUUAACUUUAAUACCUUCUAAUUUAAGAUCAGUUUAUUUUAAAAUUAAAAAAAUAUUACUAUAUAAAUUUUUUAAAUUUCUAGUCAAAUUCUGACCAAAUUUUUCGAUCAUUUAGCAUUAGCCUACCUUAAAAAAACGAUAAAAAACAGCUUUUUGCAGCUUCACACCAUUGAUUAUCUGUCGUCAACUCAUUUGGGUCCACUAAAUUUUCUAUGAUUCAGACUCAUCACCUAACUUUUUCUGAUUUCUUCAAAAUAAUAUAUAGUAUUAAAUACACCUAUACUUAAUCUCAAAUUUAUUACUCAUAUAUUCCGACCUUGUCUUUGGAUUUUAUUGUAAAAACUUGUUUUUCUAAAAAUUAUUUUUGAGCUUGUCUUUCCAUUUUAUUAUUACGUACUUCUUAUUAUUUGAAUUAUUGUAUUGCAUGUGAGUGUUAUUGUUAUAUAUUUUCUAUUAUGUUUGAGCAUAAUUGAUUUGUUACUAUAUCUUUCUUCCUUUUUCUUUUUCUUUUUUUCAUAUUUUGGUUAUAUUUAUUUGAAUUGACAAUCUAUUAUAUGUUUUAUAAGGUAAUUAUAAGAUUAUAUUUAUAUUAUUUUAUAAAUAUUGUCAAAAAAAUAAUCCUUUGGACUACCCUCUCCCCUCUAGUUUAUUUGUCUAUUUUAUUGUGAAAAGAAAUUUAAAAAAUCUUCUUAUUUGUCAAUUUUAGUAACUUAAGAAAUAUUUUUUUUAAAAUAUUGCUUUUAUUAUUCGUAAUAAAUGUCCAGCUAGCUUUUAGCUUACUCAUUAUGAAACAAAAAAAAUACUACGUAACUCCUAGAAGAAUAUAGAUAUUUGUUUAAAAUAUUCUUCAUAUUUUAUCUAUUUAAUAAAAUAUCAUAGAAAAUUAAAGUAAUUUAGAAAACCUCUACUACGUAACUACUAGAAGAAAGUAGAUAUUUUAAUCAAAAUAUUCUUCAUAUUGUAUCUAUUUAAUAAUAUCAUAGAAAAUUAAAGUAAUUAAAAAAUUCUUAAGGAUAUGCAAUAAAGAGAAAAUUUGAAUUAAAAAAAAUCUUUCUUGAUUAUGUAAAUAUACACAAUUAUGAAAAUAGACACAAUUAAGUAAAUAUACCCUUAUUUUAGACAAAAAUAAAAAGUCUAGGUGGAUGCUUAUUAUGGAUUGGAGUGAAUUUUAAGCUUAAAUGUAGUAGUUAAGCUUAAAUUUUCAAAAUAUAAUUAUAAAUAAUAAUAUAAUAAAUUCCUAAUAAUAUUUUUUUAAAGAAAAUAUCAAGUCAACAAAGAUUAAGUAAAAUAUAAAUGAGGAAAAUAUUCGACACCAAUUUUAAAUUAAAAAGAGUGUAUCUCACGAAUCAAUCACAUUAAUAUAUUUUUAUUUAUAUUUAUAUUUAAAAUAAUUUAAUAACUUUAAUAUAAUAAAGUUUGAGUUGAACAUAUGUGUGAAAUCCCCCAACAUUGGGCUAUCACCGUCACUUUUAACGUGUUUGAAUUUUGCACCACUAAUAUCAAAUAAUAAUAAUAAUUAAAAAAAAUACAAAACAAUAAUGAUGAGUUAUUUCUUUUCAUUUUUUUCUUCUUAUAAAAUGAUGAGUUAAUUUUUUUUUCUAUUUAUAGAAGAAUAGAAAGUACUAGCUCGUAAAGUGCUGACAAAGCUAUUUACAAGUUGUUUGUAGGUUUUUUCAAGAAGCUAUUUAUAAGCAGCUACUGAAAAUUUAUAAUCUAGUAUAUUCAUAAUAUAUGUAUUUUUUUUAUAUUUAUUAAUAGAUAAUGUGUGGCCUCAAAACCUUAUUAGGUAAAAUAUCUAUCAAUAAAUAUACCUUAAAAGAGUCAUUUGUCUGUAGUUAAUGGAGGUUUAAAUUUGACUAUUUCAAGCGAUUUUGGACUGCUGCAUUUAUUUCAUUAAGAUUUAAGUAUUUGUUUGAUCUAAAUAAUUCUUAGUUAUUAAGGUUUCGAAUAAAGUUUAAAUAUUACUAUGAGCUUUUUAGUCAUCUAGUUCGGUAUACAAUUAGUCAUUUUCGGUAUAUAAUUAGUUAUUUUAUACAUUUCGGUAUAAAAUGUGUUUGUGUUUGUAUAAAGUGAGAGAAAAGUGUAUAUACAAAUAUAAAUACAUAUAUUUUCGUCAUAUACACUUAUAAUUAUACAAAUACAGAUCUUAUUCUACAAAUUACAAUGUAUAAAUGAAUUUAUACAAAANNNNNNNNNNNNNNNNNNNNNNNNNNNNNNNNNNNNNNNNNNNNNNNNNNNNNNNNNNNNNNNNNNNNNNNNNNNNNNNNNNNNNNNNNNNNNNNNNNNNNNNNNNNNNNNNNNNNNNNNNNNNNNNNNNNNNNNNNNNNNNNNNNNNNNNNNNNNNNNNNNNNNNNNNNNNNNNNNNNNNNNNNNNNNNNNNNNNNNNNNNNNNNNNNNNNNNNNNNNNNNNNNNNNNNNNNNNNNNNNNNNNNNNNNNNNNNNNNNNNUAUACAAUUAGCCAUUUUAUACAUUUCGGUAUAAAAUGUGUUUGUGUUUGUAUAAAGUGAGAGAAAAGUGUAUAUACAAAUAUAAAUACAUAUAUUUUCGUCAUAUACACUUAUAAUUAUACAAAUACAGAUCUUAUUCUACAAAUUACAAUGUAUAAAUGAAUUUAUACAAAACUGAACAAUUUAUAUAAAAUUGGGUGUAUCUAGCGAAUUAUACAAAUCAAAAAUUUCAUAACAAAUAUAAAAUUUGUUAUAAAGCACAAUUAUGCAAACUAUAGUUAUAACAUACAUAUAUAAUUUUUAUUAUUGCAAUAUGUGAAAGUUGCUCAAAAUAAAAUAUUGUAUAAUUUUUUAACCAAAAAAAUGUUAUAUACAAAAUAAAUGUUUAAUAGCAAAUUAAACUAUACCUAUAAAAUGUAAUUAUAUAAAUUAUAUCCAGAGCGUUAUUUUGAAAAAUACGUUUGCUAUGAAAUUUUCCCGUCUUUUUAUAUGAAUAAUUUUCCCCAUAACCAUCCACGAACCACACUUGUCAGUUGUCAUCGUAAUUACCACAAAGUCCAAAGAAGUUUUUGUAUCAAAGUAUUCCAAAUAUCCUUUCUGCAACUUCCUUUUUGAUCUGAGCUACUAAUUUAUAAUCACAUAAUAAAAUUCAAUGAUCUCAUUAAGAUUUUUAACUAACAUUUCGAGAUUGUAUUUUUAAAUCAUAUUGAUAUAAAAAAAGUUACAAUUUAUAGUACUUUUCGUAUAAUUUUUAAAUAUUUAAAAUUUUAUUUAAAAAUAUCGAAUUAAUGUAAUCUAAUUUACCUUUGAAAAAUAGUCAAAUUAACUCUCGAAAAGUACAACAUGACAACUAAAAAGCAACACAGGGAGUAAGAAGUUUCAAGAAAAACAAGUUUUUUUUUUUCUGAUUCUAAAAUGCUUAGUUAAGAAACUAUUUCAAUAACGUGCUUGAUAAUAAAGAAACUAUAUUCUAAUAAAUGUCAAAAUCUACCACAGUAUAUAACAAUAUAUGGAUGUUAACAAUUAUAAUAAAUUAAUGGUGAUGAUGACCAACCAAAUCAAGUUAAGAAAAGGAGAAUUUUGUCGUAUAUUUUUAGUUGUUUAUUAGACUAUCUUGUUGGCAACUUACUAAUGUUCCAAUAAAAUAAUUAAUUAAUCUUUGAUAGUUAUAUUAAUUAACUUAUGAAGAUCACCAAAGGUUUCGUUUGAAGUACACUUGAAAUUUGUAAGAUAUUAUUAAUUCUGGCCGUCUAUACAAUGACCUAAUACAUGGUAUACGGAUUAAUUAAAUUAUAAUUGAUUGUUCAACAACUGAAAAUAUAUAUAAAAAAAACACUAUUCUUUUCUUUAAAAUAAAUAAAUAAAAUAUAUCUACUUAUUGAUCCAUAAGUAUACUCGAGAAUGAGCUUAGGGAAAUUACACCUACCUACAAUGUUAGAUCUGGUUAUUUAGUUCAUUGGAUAAGGCAUGAUAUUAUCGUAUUAUAUUUGAGAUUAAAUUUAUAUUUUAUUUGAUUAAAAAUAUAAUUAAUUGCAUAAUACAUUUAUGCUUCAAUCCCUCAAAUUUAAUAUUAUUUUAUUCUACUUGAGAUAUGAGAUAAAUUAAUCUAAUAAUUAUAAUUUCAAAAACAUAAUUCUGAAAAAACUAUUUACGUAAACUAAACAAUCCUAAUGUUUUAAGAAUUAUGUUUUUUUUUAGUAAGAAUUUUGUUCAUAUAUAAAUAAAUUGGAUGCAAUGCAACUAUAUAUAUACUCUCCAUUAUGCUAAAAUUGAAGGAAAACAACAUAGAUAUUAUAAAAUUCAUGACUGCAAUUUGAUAAAGACGUGAAAGCAAAAGCCGAUGGUGUUAUAAGUUGAGAUAAAUUGAAAUAUUUUAUGCAAUUUAUUAUUCUCGAUAGUUAAUAUUACCAUUUUAGUACAAAAUAUAUUCAUAGACUAAUUAAUAUUCAUAAUCUAAUUAGAGGAAUAAAAAAUGCACAUUUAAUUAUUAAUUGUUAUCUUUUACUCUCUCCGUUCCUAUUUAUAUGUGGUCCUAACUAAAAAUAGAUGAUCCUUAAUAUUUGUCAUUUCACAAAAUCAUAAAUGACAAUAUUCUUCCUAUUUUAUCCUGAGAGUUAUUAAACUUGAAAGUAUGAAUUUGACCAACACAUGAAAACUAAAUAAUUAAUUCAUGUUCAUUGGUCAAUUUAAUUAACCAAAAUUAAUUAAUUUAUGUUCAUUUAUUGAAACUUGAUUUCAAAAUAAUACUAAAUAAGGGUACACUUAUAAACUUAAAUAUUUUUUUAAGAGACGUAAAAUCUAAAAUAAUAACAUAUAAAUGAUAACGGACGGAGUAUCUCAAUUCUCACCAAUCAACGAUUCCAUUAAAGAGAGGAAGAAUAUUUGGCACGGCGUACCUAAAAGGCUAUUUUUAUAAGCCACACACAAUUAUUUUCUCUUUCUCCCUCUCCACUUAAUUAAUUCUCGUGAGGUCCAUAAAAAAAAAAGAAUCUUUUUAUUUUCUUAUAAAUCAUUCUCAAUACUCAAAAUUAAAGAUUUUGAACAAUGGUUAAUUGGACAAUCACGUUCAUCCCACCACAUUUUGAAUGUUCAUGUUAUUGAAGUUAAAUUAUAUAUACCAUUUUUAUUAUUAAGGGAAUUAUUUGGUAGAGUUAUACACAUAUUAGUAAUGUAGGAUUAAUUAUGAGUGAUUUAUAUUUUAUUUUAAGCAUGAAUUAUUUAUUCAUAUAGUAAUUAUACUUGUAUUAAUUUUCAACCUUCUAUCAUACAUAAAAUACUACAUAAAUUUCUUCAUCACUUAAACUUAUAUUAGUUAUGCAGAUUUCUUAAUCGUCAACCAAAUCCCAUAUAAUAUAUAUAAAUGAAUAACUUAUUUCUUAUUUACAAACCAAACGUCAUAUAAGGACCUAUUUGGGUGAGCAUAUAAAAAGCAAUUUAUAAGUUAAAACUUAAAAAGUCAUAAGUCAUUUGAAUUUUGAUUUAUUUUAAAAUUAUUUUAGCCUAAAAGAAAGUAUUUUAUAACUUUUUCAAAUACCUCGAAAUUUUAAGAAGUGCUUAAAAGUAAAAAAAAAACACUUAAAUAUAAGUUGAUUAAAAUAUGGGCAUAUAAUAUAUACUAUUUCUUACCAAAUAAUGAUGUGUUAGAUUGAUAAAUAUUCCUUCAUUCUUAAUAAUAAAAAUUUGAAUUCAAGUACUGUAAAUAUAAAAUCAUUUUUAGUUGGAAGUGUUUUAUCUUCCAAGCUAGAGUUUUCUUGUGUAAAUUUAAAUUAAUCGAACUUUAAAAAAAUGAGAUCAAACCUCAAGAAAAAAAACAAAAAUAAUAAUUAUAGACCACCUUUUCUCAUUUAUGAUUGUUUUUUCUCUUUCCCCUAUACCUAUCAAAUGGGCCAAUUGGCCACACCCCUAAGAUCCUGGCUCUACCACAUCUAUUAUCUCAUCCAUUGUAUCCAUCCAUUUAUUAUUGUCUUCCUUCUCUCUCUCAUUACCUUUUCAUUCACCCAAGUGCCAACACACAUUUAUUGCAAAACUCCAAAUCCACCUUUUUCCACUCUUAUGUUCAACUUACCUUCUUGCCCUUCAUUUUGUUUAAUUUUCUUUUGAGACGGAAAGUAGAAUGUAGAGAUCUCGUAGAAUGUAUAUAGAUCUUAUUACUCCUAUUUUAAGAAUGUAAAAAUAUUUUUUGAAACGCAAUUGAUUCGAGUGUAUUAAGUCCAAAUAAAAGAAGAAGAACAUGUUGAAGAAAGCAUAAUAGUUCAUAAGAAAAUAGUGUAACGUCUACAAGAAAGAAGGAAAAUAGAAAUAUAAUCAAAAUACAAGUCUCUUUCUAUUUUGAUGAUCUUAAUAUCAACAAGACUAUACGUUAAACGAUAUUUUAAUAUAUUUACAUAUUUUUAAUUUAAUACCACGAGAUUUCAUUUUAUUUUAUUUUUACUUUCUUGAAGAAACUUAUCUACUUGCCUUCUCAUUUUACAUAGUUGGACAGAGUUAGGCAAGCUGUGUGACUUAUUUUAUUUAUUAUUGUACAUAGAAAAAACGAAGAGUUUAGUUUAAUAAAUUUUGUUGACUUAUCAUUCCGUGAAGUCCUUUUUUUAAAAAAUAAAUUAAACUAAAACAGUUAGAUUUACGUCUCUGUUAAUAUUUAUUGGCUUAAUUAAUAACAAUUUGAAAUGUGACAAUAAAAGCCAAAUAAGAAAUUAGGGAACCUAACCUUACGUAUCUAUUUGUUCCUCUAACUUCAUUAAUAUAUCACAUCUCUCCCCAAUUUUUGGGAAUCUAUAAAAUGAAAAACUAUAGUCUAUAAUUUCACACUAAUUACAUCAUUAAUGAUAGUAGGGGUACGCAUAAGAUCAAUUUGUCAAUCUUGAAUUAAUGGUUUGUGUUGUGGAUUAUUGAACUUAAAUUCAACUUGGUUAUAAUUGUUCUCAAAGUUAGGAUCAGAGAUGUCUUUUUCUGUGUUUCUUUACCUUGUUAUACUUUAACGAUCUACAAUGUAUUUUUUAAAACUUACACUCUUAUUAGAUGUCAGUCUAAUAUAAGUCAAUUUGACAUUGAAUUGGUAAUUUGAAAUAAUUGAGUAUAUAGUAAAAGCAAUUAUGUUUGUUAUUCUACCUAUGCUUUAAUGCCUAUAUCAAAGCAAAAUUGGACUGAUUCUUCAAUCUUGAUUUUAGUUUUUCCAUUUCGAUCUAAAUUUGAAUAAUUAUCUCUACAUAGAUCGACACUAGAAUUGAUUAAAAGCUUUAUGGACAAAAGUGAAAUGGAAUAAAACUUUUAAGGACAAAAUAACAAAUUUCUAAAUAUUCUCAAAAAACAUAAAUGUUUGGUAUGGAGGAAUUCUUUUUCCAAAAAAUAUUUUUCAAUUUUCUAAAGAUUUGAUUGGUCAAAAUAUUUUUUUUAAAUAUUUUCUUUAAGAAAAUAAAUUCCUUGAAAUGAGAAAAAUGAGAAAAAUGACUUCCUUAAUCAAAUAGAAAAAAAACAAAUUAAAUGAACAACACUAUAAAUUUAUUAUCUCUUCUCCAUAUCCUAACUCCCACCACACCAAAACCCUCAUUUUUCAUCACAUCCUAUUUCAUAGUAUUUUAUUAAAUAAUUUAUAAUAUAUAUAUAUAUAUCGAACAUUAGGAAAUAAGUAAGGUAUAACACACCUAGGUAGAAAAUUCCACAUGCAAUACUAAUUGAAACUUCUUUAAUUAGAAGAAAAAAAGAAAGGAUAAAUUGGGUAAUUUGCAUACAUUUCUAAGUCCUAUCCAACUUUUGCCUUUUAUAUCUCAUCCUUUUUUUCUCUCUCUUUUUAGUUGUGGUUGUAGAUAUACUUUCCCUUGAAUGACAACAUAACUUUUUGACCAUUAAAGUAAAUGAUGUAAACUCCAAACAUUUUGGUUAAAAAAUAAAAGCAUAUAAUAUAUAAAUAUAUUUAUUAAUUUAGCUUUAAUUGAUUGUAUAAAUAAAUAUUUAAUUUUUUAUAAAAAUAAACAAAUAGAUAUGUAUUUUAUAUAACGUGCUAUGUGAUAAAUUUAAAUGAUAUCUUAUAUGUAUUAUAGCAUAUAAAAUACGUGUGUCUAUUUAUUCAAUUCUCGGACGAUCUUCAACUUUCCCUUUGCUAUUUUAAGGCCACUAUUGUACCUCACACACGGCUUCACAUUUUUCCUCUCAAAUGAACAACUCCGCCACCAUCACUGUCGCAGCCGCAGAUACAGCAGCCGGAGCUGCUGUAAAACGCCGGAAAAAACUUCAUCAACAUCAUCAGUAUGAGUCCUUGAUUCUUGGACUUCCUGAUGAUAUAGCUCAGAUUUGUCUUUCUCAUGUUCAACCUUCAACUCUUUACUCCGUUUGUCAAUCAUGGCGUCGGCUUGUUUAUUCUCCUUCGUUUCCCCCCUUUUUAUCCAUAUAUUCUCUACUGAAGCCAUCUAAAUCUGAGGAGAACUCCGUUCAGUUCGCGAAUUUCGAUCCGAUUUCAGCAAAAUGGAAUUUACUUCCUCCGCCUCCACUUAAUCCACCUCUCCGUCUCCUUCUCCGUCACCGUUCGUUCAUCUCCCGACACCUUCCGAUUCAAUCGGUAAGCGUUUCCGGCAAUUUUAUACUCCUCGCCGCGACGACUGACCCUUUGCUCCCGGCCUUAUCUCGUCCUCUUGUUUUCAACCCGCUUACUCGUAAAUGGACCUCCGGUCCCCGGUUCAAAACUCCGAGACGAUGGUGCGUUGCGGGCGCGUCGCAGGGCGUGGUGUUUGUUGCGAGUGGGAUUGGGUCAAGCUAUAACCCAGAGGUAGCUCGAUCAGUUGGAAAGUGGGACCUGAAAAGUAACUGCACAAAGUACAGCUGUAACCAUCACGAUAGAAACAAGGUCUGGAAAUGGGAGAAAAUGAGUGGUCUCAAGGAUGGGAAGUUCAGUAGGGAAGCGAUUGAAGCAGUAGGCUGGAGAGGGAAGCUCUGUAUGGUAAACGUGAAAGGCGAUGCAGCGAAAGAAGGAAUAAUCUACGACGUCGGAAGUGACACGUGGCAGGAGAUGCCGGAGGGGAUGUUGGUUGGAUGGAGAGGUCCGGUGGCGGCGAUGGAGGAGGAAGUUAUUUAUACGGUGGAUGAAUCGAAAGGAGCAUUGAGAAAGUAUGAUCCAGGAAGUGAUAGUUGGAUUAUGAUUUUGGAAAAUGAGAUGCUUAAAGGUGCACAACAUAUGGCUGCUGCCGGCGGUAGAGUUUGCGUGGUUUGUGGCGGCGGUGAUGGGAUAGCGGUGGUGGAUGUGACGGCUGAGCCGCCGAGUUUGGUGGUGGUGGAAACUCCGGUGGGGUUUCAGGUUUUGGACGUACAUAUUUUGCCAAGGAUGAAUCAAUUGGAUUCUUAAUCAAAAGAUGAAUAUUGAAUAAUAGUGUAUUAUUUCCAAUUUUUUAGUAAUAUUUUUUAGGUAUAUUUGGGAUUAUAUAUUUUUUGAAACGUUUUCACUUUAUCAUACUUUCUCACACGUUAAGGAGUGUACUGUUUUCUAUAUUAACAAUGGCAUUUUCACUUAUCAUAUUUCUCCAUAUAGUGUUUCUGAAUAAUUCUAAAUUCUUGGAUACGUUCUGUAAUUCGUCGCACACAAUAUUGUCUGCAAAUAACAUACACCAAAAAUAUCAUUCUGCGUUUUAUAUUGUCAUUUUUUUGCCCAUCUAUAAUCAAGAGUAAACGAGCAUGAUCGAAAUAUUGAUGUGAAAUCGUAAUAUCAUUAAAAAAAAUGAUUUUGUAUCUUGUAUAUAUGUUGUCACUCUAGUAAUUGCUUCUUCGUAUAUACAAAUGGUAUUAUAAGUGAUUUUGCUUACUCUCUAAUUUGGAGUUGAGCGUAUAGACAUCAUGAAUGACAAAAUCUUUUUCUCUUUUUCCUAUUUUUGCCUACCGUUGGUUUUAAUUGGUAGGGGUUUCGUUUUAAAAACUAACAAGUCAGAAUUCACCGACUAGAGUUAUAGUGGAGUGAUACGUAUUCUUUUAUCAUUAAUCAAAUGUCUCGAGUUUGAAUCUCUUGUAUAUGGAGUCUUCUUUGUUAGAAGCAUUUUAUCUACUUUCUCGCACGAAUCUGAAUUUAAUCGAAUUUUAAUAUGAAUAUCGGACAGCUAAUGAGAAAAAAAAAAUCAGAAUUUGACUGUGGGCCAAAGCCCAAAUAUAACCCACCGAAUUUUGACUUAUUAUUUGGCAUCUUAUUGUUCGAUGGGAAACCAAAAUUUAGGUCCAUUUUGUAUAUUCAAUUUUCAAAUUAACAAUAAAUAUAUAUUAUACCUUUUUACUUUCUAGAGUCCUCAAAAGGGCAAAAGUCAUUAAAAGUACUUUGUUGAUCGACCUUUUCGAUGGACGAUUAAAAGUCAACGAAAUCAUGUUAACUUUUUACAUUUAUUCCACUAUAAUAUUCCAAACAAUUACGUAAAUAUAUAUAUGGCAAUAUCAAAUUUUGUCGGAAUAUAUUAUCCUAACUGAAAUGUUCAAGGCAUAUACAAAGGUAGAAGUAUGGAGGAAGACAAGCAAAAUUAGAAUUUCAAUUUUACGGACUUUGAUUUUAAAUAAUAAUUUUAAGUGAUAAUAUUUGUACAUAUUUAAUAUAUUUAUUAACAUAUAUACAUUGUUUAAGUAAAAUCUACUGGUUCAGACGAACUUGCAUGUGGGCUACUAGCUUGCCCCUCGAGAUACAAACAAACAACAAUGAUUUAUCUACUGUAUUUUUACAAAGUGUGGUCCGAAAAAAGUAAGAUAUACGGAGAUUCUAUCUUUACCUUUAUGUUGUAGAAAUAUUGUUUUUGAUAGACCUCCCGCUCAAAAGAAAAGAGGAAUUCAAAGCACGAUUAAGGAAAUAAGAGACCAGAAAAGAUACAUAAAGACAUUAGAGCAAUAAAUAGUACUGAAUGACAAAGAAAAUAUGUGAUUUCUAAAUAUGAUUAUGUAUAAAGAGGGGAGACUAGCCCUGUGCCUCUCCCACAUGAAAUACAACAACUCUCGGCUAUCGACUCACCUUCUAUCAAAAUUCCCGACCUCCAUCCUUUCUCUUUAGGGAUCAUGUCUUUAAUAUGCUUAAGUUGUGUGAUGUCAUAUCUAACCAUCUUUCUCAGUUAUUCUUUGGCUUACCUCUAUCCCUCCUAACUUCUAUUAUAGCCAAACUUUUAUACUUCCUGACGAGCACGUCCACACACCUCCUAUUCACAUGCCCAAACCAUCUCAACCUCGUUUAUCUCAUCUUACAGAGGUCACUCUCAUCUUGUUAUGUGGAUCUUUGUUUCUCUAAUCUUAUCUGUUUUAAUAUCUCCACACAUCCAUUUAAGCAUCUCUAUCUAUGAUAUAUUCAUCUUUUGAACGUAAUCAUUCUAGACUGACCAACAAUUUGUCCCAUAUUACUGUAUGACCACACAUCCAUCUCAAUAUUCGUAUUUUUGACAAAUUCAUUAUGAAUAUGUUGGAUCUUAAAGGUGCAACAUUCACUGAAACAUAAUAAUACCGAUCUUAAUAUUAAUCAUUUUGUAGAACUUGUGUUUAAUUUAAGUAUAUAUCCUCCUUUAUAUAACAUAUUCCUAGCAAUUUUUCAUUUCAGCCAUCUAACUUUGGUUAUAUAUUUGAGUAACAACUUUGCUUAUCAUACUUUCUCUUGGAAUAUGGAACAUAGAUCCAUCAAAUAUUGCAUAACAUACACCACAAUCACGUCGAAUCUCAUGUUAAUUAACCUCUAUCAUGUUUUUCUUGUGUUUGUGAUUUAAGAAUUGGUCAGGUUCUAGUGACCGGGGGCAAUGUUUGAAGUUUGAAUGUUGACCAUGUUAAGCAAUAUUUAUCGAUAAUUCCUCUAAUUAAUUCAUCGCUAAAUAGUUUCUAGUCGCUAAUUCAUAGCCGAAUGAAAUAACAAACUCCCUCUAUCCCAAUUUAUGUGACACUUUUCGUUUUUCGAGAGUCAAACAGUUUAAGUUUGAUCGGGAAUUUGCGCAUGGAAUCUUCAAUUUUUUUGAAAUGAAAUUUAUAUAUUUGUAAACUACGUAAAAAGUACUAUAAGUCACAAUAAUUGAUAAUUUAAAAUGUUUAAAAGAUCUAUGAAAAUUUUACAAUCAAAGAUAAACUUGUUUGAAUCUCGAAAUCUGAAAAGUGCCAUAUAAAAUAAGACGGAGGGAGUAAGAUUUUUGUUUUUUUAGUUACAGAACUUUGUCCCUUGUUAAUUCCUUAUUUUCUCGUAGAGUACUGUUGCAAUUUGAAUAUACUUCAUAGAUUAUAAAUGUUAUUAUUUUUAUUUAAUGAAUGAUUCCAUCGAUACUCUUAAGCUCUUAUCUUUCAAUAUCCAUUUGGAUAAAAAAAGUAUUUUCAAACGAAAAAUGUGAAAGAGUUUGGUCAAUAAUAGAAUAAUAAUCUUUUAUUUUUAUUGACCGAAAAUAUAUACUUUUUUUCUGGGUAGAGUGAGUUUCUUCCUCGUGCAACUUGUUUAAUAAAUAUGAAAAUGAAAAGAAGUGUGGAUUAUAAGUGAUUUUUUCUUCCUCUCUAAUUUGGAGUUGCGAGUACAAUUAUCAUGAAUGUCAAAAUCUUCUUCUUUUCCUAUUUUGCCUACCGUAUUUCGUUGCUCAUUGGGUGUCUAUAUUCGCAUUGAAAUUCAAUUAUUUUAAAUUUGCGUUGUGUAAGGCUUCAUUUGAGAGGAAACGCUCCCUACCAAGAACCUUUUAAUACAUAGAGUUCGAAUUCGAGACCUUUGGUUAAGAAAGAAGCAGCCUCAUCUACUAUACAAAAUAAUUAAUUAUUGAUUAUAUAUAUAUUUGGUGCAAAAAAUCGCCAAAAAAUCGACGGACUAAGAGAUGCCGUCCGUCGCCUUUUGUAAAAUAAUUUAAAAAAUAUGUUUUUUUAUUUAAAAGCGACGGACAGUGUGGCAAUUGGCGUCACUUUCCGUGCUUUUUGACAGUUUUUUAGUAGUGUCUGAUUGUACCGUUAGUUUUAAUUGGUAGGGGUUUAGUUUUAAAACGUACUCCCUUCGUUCCAAUUAGUUGUCACUUUCCUUUUUACCUACAUAUUAAGAAAUUAUAAAUAAGAAAAUAAUUUUAUUAAUUCACACCUUAAAACAACUUCUUAGAAAUUUUACAAACUAAUGUGAACAGUUUUUAAAAAAAUUAGUUGCAAGGAUGAUAUAUGAAAAAUCUAACUAAUGAUUUAUUGAGUUAGUAAGAUGUUCAAGAAAUAACUAUUUUUAAUAAGAUGAUUAGCUAAUAUAGAACGAAGAGAGUAAUAAGUCGGCUGUGGGCCAAAUAUAACCACAAAAUUAUGACUUAUUAUUUGGAAGCUUAUGGUUUGAAGGAAAGUUCGAUGGGAAGCCAAAAUUAAAGUCCAAUUGUAUACACUCAAUUUUCAAAUUAAUAACAAUGAAUAGACACACUUAUUUUACUUUCUAGAGUUCUCAAAAGGGCAAAAGUCGUUAAAAUAGGAAAAAAACAAACUUCGUUGAUCGUUGAUUUAAAGUCAACGAAAUCACUACGUAAAAAUAUUUAGGCUAAUACUAAAUUUAGUAGAAAAUCCUAACUGAAAUGUUCAGUAGACACUCGUGCAUAUAUAGAAGUAGAAGUAUGGAGGGAGACGCUAACAAACAACAACAAUUUAUUCUGUGCUUUUUCGCAAAAUGAGGUACGAAGAAGAGAGUGAAAUGUACGUGGAUUUUACACUUAAUUUUAUGAUAUGAAGAGGUUGUUUUCGAUAGAUCCAUCACUAAAAAAGAAAGAGUCGAGAGAAAUAUUUUUAUUUAGGGAAAAGGUUUAUAAAUACCCCUCUUCCACUUUUGGGUCUAAAAAUACCCUUAAGGUUUAUGUUUGAGCUCAAAAAUAUCUCCAACAUAAAAAAUAAAUAAAAGAAAUCACUUGACAAAAGUUUAUAUUUUUAUAUCAUAAUAUAACACCAAUUAUGUUGUGUAAUUUCAAGGAACUUAUAUUGGUAGAGACAUAAAUUUAUUUCAUAACCACAAAUUAUAAGGACAUAAACUUCACUUUCAAAAUGUCAUGUCUUAUGAAGUUUAUAAUCCACAGGUUAUGCCUUACAAGACAUAGUUAUGUUCCUACAAAACCUUAAGGCAUAACUUAGAGCCUGUUUGGAUAAGAUUAUUUUAAGUGUUUUCAAGCCAAAAUAGCUUUAACGCAUUUUUAGAGUGUUUGGAUAAAUUUAAAAAAGUGCUUAUAAGCAGUUGGUUUUAAGACCAAAAAAAAAAGUAAAAAUUAGGCAAAUGACAUAGUAUAAGAAAGAAAUUACUUCCUUUCCCUACUCUUUCAUUAAUUACCAAAAAUCCCUUUUUUUAGUGUUUUUCGGAUACAUAAUAUAGCAGCGCAGAUACUUUAAUUAAUAACGGGCGGAUACUUAAAUUAACAGGCGGAUGCAUAAUAUAGCAGCGCGGAUACUUUAAUUAAUACNNNNNNNNNNNNNNNNNNNNNNNNNNNNNNNNNNNNNNNNNNNNNNNNNNNNNNNNNNNNNNNNNNNNNNNNNNNNNNNNNNNNNNNNNNNNNNNNNNNNNNNNNNNNNNNNNNNNNNNNNNNNNNNNNNNNNNNNNNNNNNNNNNNNNNNNNNNNNNNNNNNNNNNNNNNNNNNNNNNNNNNNNNNNNNNNNNNNNNNNNNNNNNNNNNNNNNNNNNNNNNNNNNNNNNNNNNNNNNNNNNNNNNNNNNNNNNNNNNNNNNNNNNNNNNNNNNNNNNNNNNNNNNNNNNNNNNNNNNNNAGCACGGAUACUUAAUUAACGGGCGGAUGCAUAAUAUAGCAGCGCGGAUACUUUAAUUAAUACGGGCGGAUACUUAAACUAAUAAAGUAUCCGGUUAAGUUGAAUUGGGGGAAAAUAAGGGAUUUUUGUAUUUUAGUAAAAGAGUAGGGAAAUAUUGAAAAUAUGUAAAGAAGUGUUGUGUAUUUAAGUAAUUUAAACCAAAAAUCAUAAAUUAUAAAUUCUAGCUUAUGAUUAUAGGUCAAAAGCAAUAAUAAGCCCGUUCAAACAAUUCUAAUUAUUACUUCUAAACUUAAUACCUUGCAAAUUAAAUACUACACAACUUCUGUCGGAUAAGAUAAAAGUUUGCCAAGCUUACACCUAACGAAAUUAGGUCAUAGCUAAUGGUACUUUAACGAGAGAACAAACAUCAAAGACUGUUAUAUUGGAUAGCAAAAAUGAAAGACCACCCGAAAAUAGAAACAAUUCGCACAAAAACUUGAAAAUAUCCCUACUAUUUACCAUGCUUAUAUCCAAGAUGGGCUGGGCUAGCUGUAUUGGGCGUGGUAGACUUUUUGAGCCCAUUAUACAAAACCCGAAUAAUGAACCCAUUUAGCAGGGCUUGUUAUCCCAAUUCAUUUCAAUUUCUCCAUUAUCUUUCCCCUUUAAACCCUAAAUAAACCCAGCUCAAAUUCUUGUUCAUCCAGGUUGAAUUUCGUAGCAUCUGAUUUUGAAUUGCAUCUCAAGUAAGGUAAAACACUCAAUUUGUGCGUGAAUUUUUGUAUUUUUCAUGUUCGUGUUAGUGUUUAAUUUGAUGUGUAGUUGUAAAUUGAAAUGGAAUAGAAUUGUUACAUAUUGAAGUUUUCGUACAAUUCUGAAAUGUUGAAAUUCCCGUUGGAAAAUUGUUUUUCGGAUAUGAAUUUGAGAAUUAGUCAAAUUUAAUAUCGAAGAUCGAAAAAUAGACUUUUUGGAGCAGAGUAUUAUUGUUGUAAUUGAAGUGGUUGUGCCCUUAUUUUGUUUCGUUUACUAAUUGUCAUGAUAAAUUAUCAGCUGAACUUUGAAGUGAGGGCUGUUGUGGUUCUACAUUUGCUUGAAAACACAUGGCUGAGAGACAUUCUGUUGAUCAACAGCAAACUCCUGAAUCACAAAUGCAAUCUCCUGCUUCAAGGGAUGACAUGAUUGCGUGUGUUAUGGCAUUAGAGGCUGCUUUGCUUCCCUGUUUGCCUGCACGAGAGUUACAGGCAAUAGACCGUUCAGCCCAUCCUUAUCAUCAGAGUGAGUAAAUUUUGGCUCAUUAUAUAACCUGUCUUUUGCUUGAACAAGUAAAAUUAUAUCUGGAGUCUUGUAUCUACUGAUAAUCGUUGAAGGAUGAGAUUAGUUGUAAUGCAUCAGUCAGAAGAAUGCAGCAUAGCAUAAUUGUUACUCCUACACUCUGUAUGCUUACUUUUGGUUGGCUGUCAAAAUUUACUUUGGGUCCUCUGCUUUGAGCUGGAGUACUGUCAGAAAAUUUAGCUAUUUGACGAUCUAAAACUCUCUGGGAAUAUUUUGCUUUUAAGUUGACGUCUUGCUCCAUUAUCCAUUUCAAUACCAGUAAAGCCCUACUAGCACUGAUCCAAUGAAGCUUUUGUCUUGUUGGAGUUGGCUUUAUGACCAUGAUACUAGGUCUUUGAAUAUUGCAAUUUUCCUAAGCUUCUUAGUCAAUCAAUCAAUCAGUCAACUAUCCUUUAAUCUCAAACUAGUUUGGACUUUGGGUUGGCUGUAUGAGUACAGAGUAUUCCAUGUCUAAUACGAUCUACUCGGUCUAUAACAUUCCAAUUGUCAGUUAUUUCUCUUAAAAGACAACUUAAGAUUUUAAAACUAGAUGCUCUUUUUAUUCCACGCUUACCUCUACACUGAUAUACUAAUCUCCUACAAAACUAAAUAAUCUUUGCAAACACAAUACCUAAUAAAAGUGUUAUAGUAACAACUAAAUCCUUAAUCCCAACUUUUAGCGAUAAUGACUCUUAGUUACCUUUGUAAUUUACCUGAGUCUACACUCUAUUACUCGUUUCUAGAGUUUCAUCAUAUGUCCUGUAGAAAUGGUGACACUUUCAGGUUCUGAUGAUGGUUCCCUAAGACCCUAACACCUAUGCAGGAAUAAAGUUUGGAUUUUCCCCUUUUCAAUUUAGGCUUGUGUUUGUUUCUCUUUUUCCAUUUUAUUUAUUCGUUGUGCUAAUUCAUGCUUGUUCAAGUGUAGUAAUUUUCAUCUUUUUCCUUCUUUUUUUUCUGAAUGAGUUGCAAUUUUUUUGUUUCACAGUUGAUGUUGAGAGGCAUGCGAGAGAUUUCAUGGAAGCAGCUAAAAAGCUUCAACUUUUUUUGAUUGGUUUGCAACGCGAGGACCUGCCGUCCAAGCCAGAUAUGCUUAGAAAGGUAAGUUAGGGUAACAAGAAACUAAAAUAAUAGAAAAUAAUCUUUUUUGAUGAUAUGAGUUCUUAGAGAACUAUUAGUGUUUCCCAUGAAUUUUGGCAUUGUUAAUGGAGUGUUGUGGAUUCCAAUUAAUAUGAACAGGAGAUUGCAAAAAUGGAAGAAGAGUUGAAAACAAAAACUGAGCUUAUAAGUAAGCAGGAAAGACUGAUCCAAGAAUGGAGGAAGGAGUUGAACGAUCAAUUAGACAAACACAACAUGGAGUUGGAAAGGGUGUAAACCUACUGCGGAGCUUAUAAGUAAUUUGAAACAAAAACUUAGCUUAUUGUUUUCUCUGCUCUCAUCCUGUAUUUGAAGGCGGUAGAAGGCAACAAGCUCGCUACAGAGAUGACUUGUUGCUACAACAACAACAAACCCAGUGUAAUCCCACAAGUGGAGCGAGAUGACUUCUUGUUAGUGUGUUUAAAUGACAGGUUGAGGUAGAAUGAGCAUAGUUUGUUGACACAAGGCGGAUAAUUCAGAAGACAUAUAACUCAUUGUUAAUGUAGCUCACUGCGUAUUAUUUUCUCAACUGCGAUGCCAAUUCCCAUACAUCUUAUUUAUAGAUGGAGAGUACAUUGUUGAGCUUUAUGUAUGCCUAGCAUGUUAGAAGAGUUUCAGUUUUACUGAGAACUUCAUCUUCAUGAUGUUUCUGCAUUUUAAGGUUUUUCCUGCGCGCUGAACUCAUUGAUACACUAUGGAAUUUCUAUCUUCUAUCUAUUUUGUUGUUUGGAAGUUAAAAGGUCUGGAUCCUUCACCACAUUCUCUCCCUUGGUUCUUAGAUUGUAAGUAUAUCUUCCCUUUGCUGUUCAACCAACACUAAUACCUUGAGUCGAUCGUGUCAUGCGCAACGUUCAUCAAUGAUAGCUUAUUAAUGUCAAUUGAUUUAGACUCCUUCCUUCUUCUCAACUAAGAAAAAGAUCGAGAGGGGCCCGAAAGCCCCAGAAUGGAAACUGAAUUUGAUUCACUCUCUAUUGUCUCUUAAAUAAAUAAAGCUCGCCCUGGGCCAGGUCUUUCCCUGGACGAUAAGACUUUCCAAUGAGUAGCUAGGCUAGGGCUUAUUCUGAUUCACUUGCUAUGGCAUUCAUAGCAUCAAUUCCUUGCAUCCCUAAAGCGAUAACUUCUCUAAUUUGUUGCAUCCCUUGUGAUCAAGUUACCCUUAACUUGAAAUCAAGCUCUUAUUCUAGUUUAUAUCAACACGUUGGUUGAAAAUAAUAAACUCGAUAAUUAAUUAAUACUAAUACAAGACUUCACCUAACCACUACUAAGACUCAUAAUCAUGAAAAAAGUUUUUUUCAAUUUGCAACUUGUACAAUGCACUUGAACAGUAUGUCAAAACUCUACAAAAGCUUUUGCUCGUUCACAAACACCUAGUAAACUCAAGCUCUUCUUCACCUUGUAUUCAUUCGAUCCAAUUUACUUUGCCCAUCAUCAAAACUUCGAAAGGCCCUACACACAUUUGCAAAUUAGAUUAUAGGAAUAUCCACUUAAUUUACUUUUUUAUUUAUUUUUGAAUUCAACAUCCACUAGUGGAGCUAAUACUUUUUUACUUUUUUUCUUAAAACUUUUUCGUAAUCCAAGGCAUCUCGAAUUGAAGGAGAAACAUGUGCCUAAUGGGUUAUUAUAAAGUCUACUUGCUUUCUUUAAUAAGACUUUUACUCCCUCCGUCCCAUUUUAUGUGGCAACAUUUGACCGGGCACGGAGUUUAAGAAAUAAAUGAAGAUUUUGAAAUGUUUACUAAAUUGCCCUUUAAAAAGUAGACUCUUUUUUCUCUCUUCUCAUAAAUGUAUUGGAGUAUUAUUUUAAGAUUAAGUGGGACCAACAAGGAUAAAAGAGAAAUUGUACCUUUAUAAACUUACCAUAUAAGGAAAUGUGACAUUCUUUUUGGGACUGACCAAAAAAGAAAUAGUGCCACAUAAAAUGAGACAGAGGGAGUAAUUCUUUUCAGAAAUCGCACCUUUUUAUUAAAUAGUAGUAGUUGUUUUGAUGUAUUAUUAUCGACUGGCUAGUGGUGCAAUUAUUUAUUCUAUAUAUAUUCCAUUAGUAGCUGCUAUCUAAUACAGAACAAUUAUAAGUCCACUUGCUUUCUUUAAUAAUAAAAUAUUAUUGUCAGAAAUCGCACCUUUUCAUGAAAUACUUAAUCCAUUCGUCAUAAUUUAUAUGAGUUAGUUUAAUUUGACACGAAAUUUAAGAAGAAAAAAGAAUGACUUUUGAAAUUUAUGAUUUAAAAUAAAUCAUAGAUAUUUGUGUGACUGUAAAUUAUUUUAUUAAAGACAAAAUAGACAUUUUAAAAAUUAAAUUCUUACUAAAUAUGAAAAUGUAUCAUUUUUUUUAAACUGACUAAAAAUAAAAUUAAAUCAUAUAAAUUGUGAUGGAGAAAUCUUUAUUACAGUAAUUGUUUUUAUCUGCUUAUUAUUGACUUGUGGUGUAAUCAUUCAAUAUAUAUUCCAUUUGUAGCUGUUAUUUACUAGUACUACAUAUUGUAAGUCUUUUUGCUUUCUGUAAUAAUAUAAUAAUUCUAGUCAGAAAUCGCACCUUUUCUUUAUAUAAAAUAAUCUAGUGGGGUAAAUAUAUUCAAUACUAUAUGUUAUUAUUGUGUAUGCUACAUUAUUUUAAGGUUACUAGUCCUUUCUAGAUCCACAUGCUAUUGUUCCUAAUCUUGUUCCCUAUUUUUUAUUAAAAGUUAGGAGUCUCAUAUAAAAAAUAUGUGAAUUAUUCCAAGACCAACAUAUCAUUCCAAAACUGAAUACACUAACUAGCAAAAGUAAUCGUUAUAGCUAAAAUUCAUUGAAUCAUAUCAAAUAUUUCCUCUGUCCCUAAUUACUUGUCCAUUUUUAAAUUGACACAGUUAUUAAGAAAUCAAUAAUUAACAUAGUGAAUUUACCAUUUUACCCCUAUUAAUUAUGAAGUGGAUGAAUUAAAAACUUAAUAUUUUCAAGAAAGGUAGUUGAUUUGUCAAAAUGAACAACUAAUUAGGGACAACUAAAAAAGGAAAUGUGAACAAGUAAUUAGGGAUGAGUAAUAAUAUGUGAAUUAUCCCAAGACAACAUAUUAUGCACUUGUAACAUUCAUUUUUAAAGCAUUCUCAAAACUAUCCAAAAUGACUAAACAACACAUUUAACAUUUUGUAUGAGAUAAAACAAAGUGAUUUUAAAUUUUCAAUAACAAAAGUAAAUGGUUCUAUGUGAUAAUAAAUCGCUUUUAUUCAAGGAAAUUGGAUUCAUUCGUCUCAAACAUGAAAAUUAAAAGCAAACAAACAGACAAACCAAUAAACAAAAACAGAAUCGUAACAGAUCAUAUCAUGUAAUCUCAGCAGAUUCACUCCACACUAAUUAACAAUCCGCAAGCUUGAUUUCCACACCUCCAAUGGAAAUACCACCUUUCUUUGGUACCAGAGUCACCGCAAUAGUCUCGUCAUCUUCCAAACCAAUGUCCUCCAACAGUUCUGUUAUCGCCAGCUGGAGAGUAGCAGUUGCAGUAUGAUUAGUAUCCCCAACUCUGUGUACAUGUGGUAAGCUAGUAUAGCUCCCCGCGAACUCUGCCUUAUCAAGCUCAUUUGCAUUCACAUUGUUAUCCACGUUCAGGAACACAUCGAACCUUAUGUAAUCUCUGUUAUCAUACUUUAUUUCAUUGAACGUUAGCAUCUCCUCUUGUGCAUUUUUCUCCUGUUGAGUCCUUGACGAAGCAGGCCUAUUGAUGGAAAACGAAAUUGCUUUAUCGAGUUUAGCUAAUGGGAAUACCUGGCUUACGGGAGGAAUUGAACUUGUAUUCACUUUUUUCCCAGCUGAAGCCUUUGUUUUUGGCUUGAAGUUACGCCAUGGGGUAGGCAUUGGUUCGUAAUCAUAUCCCAUCUUCUUCGUAUCCAAACAGUCUCU